Molecule: long non-coding RNA, 63258 nt
Filed under: Triticum aestivum (bread wheat)
Lineage: Eukaryota; Viridiplantae; Streptophyta; Magnoliopsida; Poales; Poaceae
Description: long non-coding RNA (TAES_LNC017804)
Source: RNAcentral
GUCUUUUUUUUGUAGUGCAAAGGCCUUAGAAUGGGCAAGUUCCGUUCCAACGGCAAGGACCGAGCCAAGCUUGACGACUGGUUCCGAUCCCCGCCCUAGAUCAGCUCGAGGAGCUCAAUUUUGAUGAUGGGCAUAUGCAUUCGCUGCCAACGUCCCCACUCCGCCUAGCGCCCACGAUGCGCGUCGCCAAGUUCAGGAACUGCCAUUUCCCGCCCCUUAAUGACGCGCCCGCUCUUAUUCUACCACGACUGAAGCACCUCGAGCUCGUCGCCGUCUGCCUCUCAAAGGGUGACAUGGAGUGCCUGCUCCGUGGCUGUACUGCACUCGAGUACCUUCAUCUUCAGGCGAUCAAUGGGUUGAGUACCUUCCACAUCACCUCCAUGACUCUUCGGACUAUUUGUGUGUGUUGCUCGUGCGGCAGGAAGACAUCACAAAAGGUGGACCACGGUAUGGUCAUCCAGGACACACCUGCACUUGAGAGAUUACUUGUAGUUGAUCAAGAAGGUCCAACAAGAAUCAAUGUCAUUUCUGCACCGAAAUUGACAGUGGUGAGCUACUCGUCUGACAAAUACUCCGAACUUGUUAUUGGAUCCACACCCGUUCAGGUACAACAGCCGCCUUCUACCUCUCCUUCUACAAAUUAACAUUAUUUCUAAUUUUGAAGAUGUUUGUUCGUCUGUCAUUCAAAAAAUGAUUCCGACAAGCUUGACCCUGAAACUGUGCACAGUGAAGGUCUUGGAACUAGAAUCUAUCGGGCCCUACCUAGAGCAAGUUGUCGGUUUCCUGAGAUGCUUUCUGUGCCCGGAGAAGCUAUAUAUCGAGGUGAUGUUUCUUUCCUGUUAAAUGUUAACCAUAAGGGAGUUCAAUUUGUGACACCUUUUUCCUAGUUUACAAUGACAAUGUACUACGAUUUCUGAAGGUUCUUUUGGAGGAUUUCAGUACAUACAUGCCCCCCAUAUUGGUUGCUUGAUCCAUAUGGUUACAAUCAAUAAGCAUUUCUCCUUUGGAUUCAUCUGUACUAGUUUUCUUAGGGAACUUUUCAUCCACUCCAACCUCUUGUGAAGAAGGCUACAUUUUUCUAGAAUGUAAUCAAAUGCCCAUGUUAAUCAUGUCAGAUCGAAGAUGGCAUGUUAGUGCAUUUUACAAAUCCUGCAAACCAAAUAGCUAGUCCUGUAGUAAUGUUCAAAACUGCAUGUAGGCACUAACACGUUUUCUUCUUUUGCAGAUAAGAUUAGGCCCAGUGGUGGAUAAUGUGAUACAAUAUAACAAUCACGUCGAAUGCCUAGAUCUGCAUCUCUCAGAAAUUACUUUGAACUCCUACCGAGGGACCUUGCCGGAGAUUAUAUUCGCCAGGUUCUUUGUUCUCAGAGCAAGGGUGCUGAAGGAAAUGAGGUUUGCCCUACAUUUAUUUUGCAAAAAUGAAUGGUCUGUUGAUCAGCGCCGGCGCCUGCGGCGGAAUGGAGUAGGCUCCAAAAAUGCUGAAUUUCAUUUUGGAACUUCAGAUGACAGAGUAAUCGGAAGUCAUCGGGUCAACCCCAUACAUGACUUCUCAGUGGCUGACCCCUUUGCAAAAAUUGUGAGGUUUCGAAGCCAAACUUAGAAGCGGUGAUAUUAGUUUGAACCUCUCUGAUAUCCAUGUUCAGCGCAUCAGCGCGAGGGUUUGCAGCUGAUGAGCUAAAUUUCAUUUCCAAUAUCAGUUUGAACCUUGUAAUCUUCGAAUUUGAGCCACAUAACUCUAGUAUUUGAACCUUGUAACAUUUCGAGCUUUUGUGGUACAAUCGUUGAAAUGGCAUCGUAUGAGACUCGUAUAUUGCUAGCACUAUUUUGACCUUAAUAUACAAUGGUCUUAGAUUUUAUUAACCAUUCUCGAAUCAGUUUGGCUUGUCGAUCUCACAGCACACGAUCUGUAUAGCUAACUCGACUGCGAUCUUCGACAUUAUUGCACACAGUUGGUUUCUUCCACCGUGUGCACUGUAGAGCGCAGAAUUAAUUAUCGCACUCGAGUGUCCAUCAUCACCCUUCUGUGUAACUUUGACCUCAUCACCCAAGGGUAAACUUAUGACCGAAGUCAUUCCACACACUUCGUUUUUACAAAGCUUUUUGCCAAUAAAUGCCCACGAUUUGUCCCUCUUCUAGCCGACGCGUAGCCAAACUAGCCGGGCGGGAAGCUUGCGCGGUAAACAGCGCGGUAGCACGGGAACAGGCUCACCGACGAUACAUUUGGCGCCUCUUCGAGCCCACGCCUGGGGUGCGGUGUUGUGACGCAUGCACUGGAUUCUGGAAUCCUCCGCUAUGAACGCCGUGACAAGACGUGACGAUUACAGGCCGGCCGGACCCCAUUUAUUACAGCGGCCAUUUAACCUACCCUUGUGUCUCUUCAACCUUUCGAUCGCGCCCCACCAUUGCAAGAAGCACACCCACCACGAGAAAUUCUUAAAGGGUAUCCUGCGCGGCUCCAAUGGUGCUCCGAGCGGCCACCGACGACGAGCAGCAGUUCACCAUGCGUGCCGUGGUGGACACCCACAGAAGGUUCAUGGACCUCUCGGUGGUGUACACCAAUGAUCCGGUCUGGGUGGAGCACUCCAUCCACAUCAUGGAGUUGUUGCUUGCCGAGGAGAAGUACAAGGUGGUCGGGUUCGACCUCGAGUAUACCCGCGCUCGUGCUGGGUCUCGUCCCAAGGUCGCCGUCGCCCAGAUGUGCGUGCCCCACCACGUCCUCGUCUACCACUACUGCCUGGCCACAAGGCCUUGCGGGCGUUUCGCCAGGUUUGUCAACAGCCCCCACUACAUGUUCGCUACGGUGGACAUCACCAAUGAUGUAAAGGCGCUUGAGAGUUCGGGCAUCGCCUGCCAGAAUCUUGUCGAGAUCCAGGGCCAAUACAAGAUCUGGGGCAGCAAGGAGCAUGAGAAGGACUCACUGGUUCACCUUGCCGAGGCCAUCAUCGACCCUACUAUAGAGACAUGAAGGAUUCGUGCAACAAGGACAAGCGUGCCUGGCACUCGGCCUGGAUGGAGAAACUCGACAAAGCUCACGUCGUGUACGCGGCCAAGGAGGCGUACACGAGCUACGACAUGUAUCGGCGGAUCAUUGACAUGAGGAAGUGCCUCCUUCCCCAAAACGGACAGGGAUCCAGCCGGAAGCAGAGCAAUGGCAAGCAUAGUCACAACAAUAAGUAGAUGAUUAGAUCCUCGUUUCUCCUACUUUAGUAUGCAUGUAAUUGCUUACUUUGGUGUGUGCAAAUGUUAUGUGUGUAGUCACUUGUGUAAUUGUAUGCUUAAUUUGGUUAUGUAAUGCUGUCUUUUUAAGUAUAUAUGUUGAUGCUCUGUAGACAGAGCGUAGAUGGUGUGCGGACAAAGAAAAUCACAUCGCACACGGAUUAAACAAUGCAACCCGUCGGUGAUGUUUUCAUCAAUCACUCACAAUUGUAUACCAGCAAUCGUUUGCUCACAACACACAUGGCUUGUUAGCAGUAAUCGUCUGUGUUCUUAUCGGUCUUCGCACACGUUUUUUAUUACAGACCUGUUUGCCUCGUAUCACACACAUCUUGUUCAUUUGAACCGUUUCUGUUCUCAUGUCUCAACACAAACAGUUCAUCCGAGUGAACCGCAUGCCGUAUAUCGCACACACACCUUUGAUCUUGCUGACCGUUUCUUUUGUGUUGCCUAAUCACAAACAGUUCAUCCGAGUGAACCAUAUGCUGUAUAUCGCACAUACCUUCAUCUGGCUGCCCGUUUCUUUUGUUCCUCCUCAUCACAAACAGUUAAUUGAGCUGAACCGUAUGCCCUGCAUCGCACACGCAACUAAAAUCGGAACCGUGUUUGAUGCAUCGUCCAUCGCAAACGUUUUGCAUCAUUUCUGACGGUUUUCAUACAACACCGUUUGCGAUUAUUGCAUAGCACACAGUUUCUCGAAGGGUCUCUGAUCGUUGUGUCGCGUUAGCAGCAUCCUGCAGUAGUGAUAGUUCUCGAACCCGUAGGGACCGCACGCUUAACGUUCGAUGACAAUUUGUAUUAUGAGUUAUGUGUUUUGGUGACCGAAGAUUGUUCGGAGUCCCGGAUGAGAUCACGGACAUGACGAGGAGUCUUGAAAUGGUCGAAAGGUAAACAUUGAUAUAUUGGACGAUGAUAUUCGGACAUCGGAAUGGUUUCGGAAAGGUUCGGGUAUAUUUUGGAGUACCAAGGGGUUACCGGAACCCCCCGGGGAAGUAUUGGGCCUACAUGGGCCUUAGUGGAGAGAGAGGGGAGCCUGCAAGGGGUGGCGCAUGCCCCCCUCCAAGGGAGUCCGAAUAGGACAAGGAGGAGGGGGCGCGGCCCCCUUUCCCUCUCCCUCUCCCUCUCCUUCCUUUUCCCCCUCCGAUGAGAAAGGAAAAAAGGGGGGGCGAAUCCUACUAGGAGUGGAGUCCUAGUAGACUCCCCCCCAUGGCGCGCCCCCUUGGUGGUCGGCCUCCUCCUCCCCUCCUUUAUAUACGGGGGCAGGGGGCACCCCAUAGGACAUCAGCUAUUCUCUUAGCCGUGUGCGGUGCCCCCUCCACAGUUUACUCCUCCGAUCAUAGCAUCGUAGUGCUUAGGCGAAGCCCUGCGCGGAUCACAUCACCAUCACCGUCACCAUGCCGUCAUGCUGACGAAACUCUCCCUCGACCCUCUACUGGAUCAAGAGUUUGAGGGACGUCAUCGAGCUGAACGUGUGCUGAACUCGAAGGUGCCAUACGUUCGGUACUAGAUCGGUUGGAUCGUGAAGACGUUCGACUACAUCAACCGCGUUAACCUAACGCUUCUGCUUCCGGUCUACGAGGGUACAUGGACACACUCUCCCCCUCUUGUUGCUAUGCAUCUCCUAGAUAGAUCUAGCAUGAGCGUAGGAAAUUUUUGAAAUUGCAUGCUACGUUCCCCAACAGUGGCAUCCAAGCCAGGUCUAUGCGUAGAUGAUAUGCACGAGUAGAACACAAAGAGUUGUGGGCGAUAAUAUUCAUACUGCUUACCACCAACAUCUUAUUAUGAUUCGGCAAUAUUGUUGGAUGAAGCGGCCCGGACCAACCUUACAUGACCACGUUCAUGAGACCGGUUCCACCGACAGACAUAAAACUUGUUUGCAUAAAGGUGGCUAGCGGGUGUCUAUUUCUCCAACUUUAGUUGAAUUGAAUUUGACUACGACCGGUCCUUGUUGAAGGAUAAAACAGCACACUUGACAAAAAAUCAUUGUGGUUUUGAUGCGUAGGUAAGAACAGUUCUUGCUAGAAGCCCGAGCAGCCACGUAAAACUUGCAACAACAAAGUAGAGGACGUCUAACUUGUUUUUGCAGGGCAUGUUGUGAUGUGAUAUGGUCAAGACAUGAUGUGAUAUAAGUUAUUGUAUGAGAUGAUCAUGUUUUGUAAAAGUUAUCGGCAACUGGCAGGAGCCUUAUGGUUGUCGCUUUAUUGUAUGAAAUGCAAUCGCCAUGUAAUUGCUUUACUUUAUCACUAUGCGAUAGCGACAGUCGUAGAAGCAAUAGUUGGCGAGACGACAACUACGCUGCGAUGGAGAUCAAGGUGUCAAGCCGGUGACGAUGGAGAUCAUGACGGUGCUUUGGAGAUGGAGAUCAAAGGCACAAGAUGAUGAUGGCCAUAUCAUGUCACAUAUUUUGAUUGCAUGUGAUGUUUAUCUUUUAUGCAUCUUAUUUUUCUUAGUACGGCGAUAGCAUUAUAAGAUGAUCCCUCACUAAAUUUCAAGGUAUAAGUGUUCUCCCUGAGUAUGCACCGUUGCGACAGUUCGUCGUGCCGAGAGACCACGUGAUGAUCGGGUGUGAUAACCUCUACGUUCACAUACAACGGGUGCAAGACAGUUUUGCAUGUGCAUAAUACUCGGGUUAAACUUGAGGAGCCUAGCAUAUGCAGAUAUGGCCUCGGAACACUGAGACCGAAAGGUUGAACGUGAAUCAUACAGUAGAUAUGAUCAACAUAGAGAUGUUCACCAUUGAAAACUACUCCAUCUCAUGUGAUGAUCGGGCAUGGUUUAGUUGAUAUGGAUCACAUGAUCAUUUAGAUGACUAGAGGGAUGUCUAUCUAAGUGGGAGUUCUUAAGUAAUAUGAUUAAUUGUACUUUAAUUUAUCAUGAAUUUAGUCCUGAUAGUUUUUGCAUAUCUAUGUUGUUGUAGAUCAAUGGCCCGUGCUACCGUUCCUUUGAAUUUUAAUGCAUUCCUAGAGAAAGCUAAGUUGAAAGAUGAUGGUAGCAACUACACGGACUGGGUCCAUAACUUGAGGAUUAUCCUCAUAGACGCACAGAAGAAUUACGUCCUGGAAGCACCGCUAGGUGCAAGGCCUGCUGCAGGAGCAACUCCGGACGUUAUGAACGUCUCGCAAGCUAAAGCUGAUGACUACUCGAUAGUUCAGUGUGCCGUGCUUUAUGGCUUAGAAUCAGGACUUCAAAGACGUUUUGAACGUCAUGGAGCAUAUGAGAUGUUCCAGGAUUUGAAGUUAAUAUUUCAAGCAAAUGCCCGAGUUGAGAGAUAUGAAGUCUCCAACAAGUUCUAUAGCUGCUAGAUGGAGGAGAACAGUUCUCUCAGUGAACACAUACUCAGAAUGUCUGGGUACCAUAACCACUUGACUCAGUUGGGAGUUAAUCUUCCUGAUGAUAGUGUCAUUGACAGUUCUUCAAUAACUGCCACCAAGCUAUAAAGGCUUCGUGAUGAACUAUAAUAUGCAAGGGAUGGAAAAGACAAUUCCCGAGCUCUUCGCGAUGCUUAAGGCUGCGAAGGUAGAAAUCAAGAAGGAGCAUCAAGUGUUGAUGGUUAACAAGACCACUAGUUUCAAGAAAAAGGGCAAAGGGAAGAAGGGGAACUUCAAGAAGAAUAGCAAGCAAGUUGCUACUCCCGGGAAGAAGCCCAAGUCUGGACCUAAGCCUGAAACUGAGUGCUUCUACUGCAAAGGGACUGGUCACUGGAAGCGGAACUGCCCCAAGUUUUUAGCGGAUAAGAAGGAUGGCAAAGUGAAAGGUAUAUUUGAUAUACAUGUUAUUGAUGUGUACCUUACUAAUGCUCGUAGUAGCGCCUGGGUAUUUGAUACUGGGUCUGUUGCUCAUAUUUGCAACUCGAAACAGGGGCUACAGAUUAAACGAAGAUUGGCUAAGGACAAGGUGACGAUGCGCGUCGGAAAUGGUUCCAAGGUCGAUGUGAUCGCCAUCGGCAUGCUACCUCUACAUCUACCUUCGGGAUUAGUUUUAGACCUAAAUAAUUGUUAUUUGGUGCCAGCGUUGAGCAUGAACAUUAUAUCUGGAUCUUGUUUGAUGUGAGAUGGUUAUUCAUUUAAAUCGGAGAAUAAUGGUUGUUCUAUUUAUAUGAGUAAUAUCUUUUAUGGUCAUGCACCCUUGAAGAGUGGUCUAUUCUUGUUGAAACUCGAUAGUAGUGACACACAUAUUCAUAAUAUUGAAGCCAAAAGAUGCAGAGUUCAUAAUGAUAGUGCAACAUAUUUGUGGCACUGCCGUUUAGGUCAUAUUGAUGUAAAGCGCAUGAAGAAACUCCAUUCUGAUGGACUUUUGGAAUCACUUGAUUAUGAAUCACUUGGUACUUGCGAACCAUGCCUCAUGGGCAAGAUGACUAAAACUCCGUUCUCCGGAACAAUGGAGCGAGCAACAGAUUUGUUGGAAAUCAUACAUACUGAUGUAUGUGGUCCGAUGAAUGUUGAGGCUCGCGGCGGGUAUCGUUAUUUUCUCACCUUCACAGAUGAUUUGAGCAGAUAUGGGUAUAUCUACUUGAUGAAACAUAAGUCUGAAACAUUUGAAAAGUUCAAAGAAUUUCAGAGUGAAGUGGAAAAUCAUCGUAAUAAGAAAAUAAAGUUUCUACAAUCUAAUCUCGGAGGCGAAUGUUUGAGUUACGAGUUUGGUCUUCAUUUGAAACAAUGUGGAAUAGUUUCACAACUCACGCCACCUCGAACACCACAGCGUAAUGGUGUGUCCGAACGUCGUAAUCGUACUUUAUUAGAUAUGGUGCGAUCAAUGAUGUCUCUUACCGAUUUACCACUAUUGUUUUGGGGUUAUGCUUUAGAGACGGCUGCAUUCACGUUAAAUAGGGCACCAUCUAAAUCCAUUGAGACGACACCAUAUGAACUGUGGUUUGGCAAGAAACCUAAGAUGACGUUUCUUAAAGUUUGGGGUUGUGAUGCUUAUGUGAAAAAGCUUCAACCUGAUAAGCUCGAACCCAAAUCGGAGAAGUGCGUCUUCAUAGGAUACCCAAGAGAAACUGUUGGGUACACCUUCUAUCACAGAUCCGAAGGCAAGACAUUUGUUGCUAAGAACGGAUCCUUUCUAGAGAAGGAGUUUCUCUCGAAAGAAGUGAGUGGGAGGAAAGUAGAACUUGACGAGGUAGUUGUACCUUCUCUCGAAUUGGAAAGAUACCUACACCAAUAAGUGAGGAAGUUAAAGAUGAUGAUCAUGAAACUUCAGAUCAAGUUACUACCGAACCUCGUAGGUCAACCAGAGUACGUUCCGCACCAGAGUGGUACGGUAAUCCUGUUCUAGAAGUCAUGUUACUAGACCAUGAUGAACCUACGAACUAUGAGGAAGCGAUGAUGAGCCCAGAUUCCGCGAAAUGGCUUGAGGCCAUGAAAUCUGAGAUGGGUCCAUGUAUGAGAACAAAGUGUGGACUUUGGUUGAAUUUCCCGAUGAUCGACAAGCCAUAGAAAAUAAAUGGAUUUUCAAGAAGAAGACUGACGCUGACGGUAAUGUUACUGUCUACAAAGCUCGACUUGUUGUGAAAGGUUUUCGACAAGUUCAAGGGGUUGACUACGAUGAGUCCUUCUCACCCGUAGCGAUGCUUAAGUCUGUCCAAAUCAUGUUAGCAAUUGCCGCAUUUUAUGAUUGUGAAAUUUGGCAAAUGGAUGUCAAAACUGCAUUCCUUAAUGGAUUUCUUAAAGAAGAGUUGUAUAUGAUGCAACCAGAAGGUUUUGUCGAUCCUAAAGGUACUAACAAAGUGUGCAAGCUCCAGCGAUCCAUUUAUGGACCGGUGCAAGCCUCUCGGAGUUGGAAUAUACGCUUUGAUAGUGUGAUCAAAGCAUAUGGUUUUAUACAGAAUUUUGGAGAAGCCUGCAUUUACAAGAAAGUGAGUGGGAGCUCUGUAGCAUUUCUAAUAUUGUAUGUGGAUGACAUAUUGUUGAUUGGAAAUGAUAUAGAAUUUCUGGAUAGCAUAAAAGGAUACUUGAAUAAGAAUUUUUCAAUGAAAGACCUCGGUGAAGCUGCUUAUAUACUGGGCAUCAAGAUCUAUAGAGAUAGACCAAGACGCUUAAUUUGACUUUCACAAAGCACAUACCUUGAUAAAUUUUUGAAGAAGUUCAAAAUGGAUUAGUCAAAGAAAGGGUUCUUGCCUGUGUUACAAGGUGAAAAGCUGAGUCAGACUCAAUGCCCGACCACUAUAGAAGAUAGAGAGAAAAAGAAAGUCAUUCCCUAUGCCUCAACCAUAGGUUCUAUCAUGUAUGCAAUGUUGUGUACCAGACUUGAUGUGUGCCUUGCUAUAUGUUUAGCGGGGAGGUACCAAAGUAAUCCAGGAGUGGAUCACUGGACAACGGUCAAGAACAUCCUGAAAUACCUAAAAACGACUAAGGAUAUGUUUCUCGUUUAUGGAGGUGACAAAGAGCUUGUCGUAAAUGGUUACGUCGAUGCAAGCUUUGACACUGAUAUGUAUUUAUAUUGAAUGGUGGAGCUGUAAGUUGGUGCAGUUCCAAGCAGAGUGUCAUGGCGGGAUCUACGUGUGAAGCGGAGUACAUAGCUGCUUCGGAAGCAGCAAAUGAAAGGAGUCUGGUUGAAGGAGUUCAUAUCCGAUCUAGGUGUAAUACCUAGUGCAUCGGUUCCAAUGAAAAUCUUUUGUGACAAUACUGGAGCAAUUGCCUUAGCAAAGGAAUCCAGAUUUCACAAGAUCAAACACAUCAAGAGAUGCUUCAACUCCAUCCGCGAUCAAGUCAAGGAGGGAGACAUAGAGAUUUGCAAAAUACAUAUGGAUCUGAAUGUUGCAGACCCGUUGACUAAGCCUCUUCCACGAGCAAAACAUGAUAAGCACCAAGACGCCAUGGGUGUUAGAAUCAUUACAAUGUAAUCUAGAUUAUUGACUCUAGUGCAAGUGGGAGACUGCAGGAAAUAUGCCCUAGAGGCAAUGAUAAAGUUGUUAUUUAUAUUUCCUUAUAUCAUGAUAAAUGUUUAUUAUUCAUGCUAGAAUUGUAUUAACCGGAAACUUGAUACAUGUGUGAAUACAUAGACAAAACAUAGUGUCCCUAGUAUGCCUCUACUUGACUAGCUCGUUAAUCAAAGACGGUUAAGUUUCCUGACCAUAGACAUGUGUUGUCAUUUGAUGAACGGGAUCACAUCAUUAGGAGAAUGAUGUGAUGGACAAGACCCAUCCAUUAGCUUAGAAUAAUGAUCGUUAUGUUUUAUUGCUAUUGCUUUCUUCAUGACUUAUACAUAUUUCUCUGAUUAUGAGAUUAUGCAACUCCCGAAUACUGGAGGAACACCUUGUGUGCUAUCAAACAUCACAAUGUAACUGGGUGAUUAUAAAGAUGCUCUACAGGUGUCUCCGAAGGUGUUUUUUGGGUUGGCAUAGAUCAAGAUUAGGAUUUGUCACUCCGAGUAUCGGAGAGGUAUCUCUGGGCCCUCUCGGUAAUGCACAUCACUAUAAGCCUUGCAAGUAAUGUGACUAAUGAGUUAGUUACAGGAUGAUGCAUUACGGAACGAGUAAAGAGACUUGCCGGUAACGAGAUUGAACUAGGUAUGAGGAUACCGACGAUCGAAUCUCGGGCAAGUAACAUACCGAUGACAAAGGGAAUAACGUAUGUUGUUAUUGCGGUUUGAGCGAUAAAGAUCUUCGUAGAAUAUGUAGGAACCAAUAUGAGUAUCCAGGUUCCGCUAUUGGUUAUUGACCGGAGAUGUGUCUCGGUCAUGUCUACAUAGUUCUCGAACCCGUAGGGUCCGCACGCUUAACGUUCGAUGAGGAUUUGUAUUAUGAGUUAUGUGUUUUGGUGACCGAAGAUUGUUCGGAAUCCCGAAUUAUAUCAUGGAUAUGACGAGGAGUCUCGAAACGGUCGAGAGGUAAAGAUUGAUAUAUUGGACGAUGAUAUUCGGACACCGGAAUGGUUUCGAAAAGGUUCGGGUAUAUUUCGGAGUACCAGGGGUUACCGGAACCCCCCGGGGAAGUAUUGGGCCUACAUGGGCCUUAGUGGAGAGAGAGGGGAGCCUGCAAGGGGUGGUGUGCGCCCCCCUCCAAGGGAGUCCGAAUAGGACAAGGAGGAGGGGCGCGGCCCCCUUUCCCUCUCCCUCCCCUUUCCUUCCUUUUCCCCCUCCCCAUGGCGCGCCCCCUUGGUGGCCGGCCUCCUCCUCCCCUCCUUUAUAUACGGGGGCAGGGGGCACCCCAUAGGACAUCAGUUAUUCCCUUAGCCAUGUGCGGUGCCCCCCUCCACAGUUUACUCCUCCGGUCAUAGCGUUGUAGUGCUUAGGCGAAGCCUUGCGCGGAUCACAUCACCAUCACCGUCACCACACCGUCAUGCUGACGGAACUCUCCCUCGACCCUCUGCUGGAUCAAGAGUUCGAGGGAUGUCAUCGAGCUGAACGUGUGCUGAACUCGGAGGUGUCGUACGUUCGGUACUAGAUCGGUUGGAUUGUGAAGACGUUCGACUACAUCAACCGCCUUAACCUAACGCUUUUGCUUUCGGUCUAUGAGGGUACGUGGACACACUCUCCCCCUCUCGUUGCUAUGCAUCUCCUAGAUAGAUCUUGCGUGAGCGUACGGAAUUUUUGAAAUUGCAUGCUACGUUCCCCAACAGUGUGAAAGUCCGGCCUUUGACGAAUCACGGAAGACAUGGCCUUGUUGAAAGGCAUGAUGGCCUUGAGGAACUUGCGCUUGAUCCAAGUGUCAUCUGUAUCCUUGCUUCCAUGAUCUUGGAGAGAAACCGCAAGAGUUGUCACCCUCCGGUAAAGAUCACGUGGAUCCUCGUCUUCAAGCAUCACAAAUUCAUCGGCCUCAUCAAGGACCACUUCAAAGUUGGACCGUUGGAUGUUUGAGCUCCCCUUGUACAUGGAAAUAAUGUGCUCCCAACAAUCCUUUGCACGAGUGAAAGGUCGUAGGUGCGAUAGAUCUUCGGGAGGGACCGCUUCUUGAAGAAUGAACAAUGUGGAGUGAUUGUAUUGAUUGUCCACUUCUUCUCUUGGAGUGAAGUUGUUGGAUCAUGCGGGUAGAAUCCUUGCUCAAUGAUUCUCCAAAGGUUAGUUGAGCAAUGAUUCAAAUGAGACUUAAUGCGAAAGACCAAUUAGCAAAAUCACCCUUAACAAGCUUGGGAGGAGGACCAUGAAUAUUGAUGCGAGCUGUGGGGACCGGUCCUCCAUAGACCGGGGGAGGGGGAAUUGAGGCAAAGGUUCCCCUCCCAUUCUUGUCAUGAGGGGAAGGAACAUGAGUACCUUUAGCCGUUUCCUUGGCGGAAUUGGCCUCCGACUCCGAUGCGAUGGGAUUAACCACAAGCAAGGGGUCAGGAGUGGAUUUCAUCCCCUCAAGUAAUUCUUUAAUCAUGGACUUGACUUCGGUCGUCAUAGACGUCUUAACUGAAGUCGUAGCUUCAUUUAAGUCGUCUUGAGUGAUCAAAGUCAACUCCACGACCCCGGGCACUUCCUCCUUGAUUUCAACCAUACUCUUCGGGUGGUGAAACCCUUAAUAAAGAGACGAGGCUCUAAUACCAAUUAAAAGGAUCGAUAUGGUUGACUAGAGGGAGGGUGAAUAGGCAACUACCAAUUUUUAGCUUUUCUUAACAAAUUAGAUUAAGCAAUAAAUAGUUUGUCUAGAUGUGCAACUAGGUGAGCAACCUAUAUGAUGCUAACAACAACAACAACAACAAGUGCAAGCAAAAGAUACAACACAAUAAUAGCUUGCACAAAGUAAAAGGAAGAGAUAACCACAAGUGGAGCCGGUGGAGACAAGGAUGUGUUACCGAAGUUCCUUCCCUUUGGGGGGAAGUACAUCUUCGUUGGAGCGGUGUGGAGGCACAAUGCUCCCCAAGAAGCCACUAGAGCCACCGUAUUCUCAUCACACCCUCACACAAUGCGAGAUGCUGGGAUUCCACUAGUGGUGCCCUUGAAGGCGGCGACCGAACCUUUACAAACAAGGUUGGGGCUAUCUCCAAAACUUGAUUGGAGGCUCCCAACGAAACCACGGAGCUUCACCAUAAUGGAAUGUGGCUCCGAGGUGACCUCAACCGUCUAGGGUGCUCAAACACCCAAGAGUAACAAGAUCCGCAAGGGAUAAGUGGGGGGAAUCAAAUUUCUCUUGGUGGAAGUGUAGAACCGGGCCUUCUCAACCAAUCCCUAGAAAAUCAACAAGUUUGAUUGGCUAGGGAGAGAGAUCGGGCGAAAAUGAGCUUUGGAGCAACAAUGGAGCUUGGGGGAAAAGAGGUAGGUCUUUUUGGGGAAGAAGACCUCCUUUUAUAGUGGGGAGACCAAUCCAACCGUUAUCCCCUCCUCAACCCGCACAGAGUGGUACUACCGCUCGGGAGAGCGGUACUACCGCGAGCCCCAGCGGUACUAUCGCAGAGACACUGGGCAAGGGCCUCGGAGGGGGAAGGGACACGGGAGAGCUGGCCCUGAGAGGCACUAGCAGCGGUGGUAGGGCGGUACUACCGAUUGCAAGCGGUACUACCGCGCCUACUGCCGCUCCUACUGCCGCUCAACCCGACACGAGAAACUACGUCCUCGAAUCGAGGCGGUACCUGCACGGAACCGGGGCAGUACUACCGCUUAUGGCCACGAGCAGUACUACUUUUGUGAAACGGCGGUAGUACCGCUUGAGGCCAUAAGUGGUACUACCGCUCUGGUUCGGUGGUACUACCGCUGGCUCCUCUCAAGACCCACUUCCGAGAUAACGGCACACUCUAAGAAGGGGAAAGGAGCUGGUGGUGCAAGAAGGAUGUGUACGUGUUGAUUCCACCCUAGCCUUUCCGAUACGGACCCCUCUUGAUAGUACGGUGUCUCCUACGACUCAAGACCACCAAAACUGAAACGAAAGAGACUACACCAUCUUCACUUUGAGCUCCGAGGGGAAAUGAAUCGUCUCGUGCCAAUGAAUAAAUAUCUGAAAGCUCAAUGCACACGAUUAGUCCGCAAAAGCAUUGCCAUCAAUCACCAAAACCAGAGAGACAUGCCCUAACACCUGUGAUGGUGAGGUUACAGUUUCUCGUCAUGUUGCGUGAUUCCGUCUGAGAUGCUUCAGAUCUAGCAAGGGUUUAACAGUGAUGAAUGUGGCUUCAGGGCGUUGGUCCUUAAGGGCACGUGCAUGAAGACUUUCCGGCUGUCAUCGACAAGCUCAAACUGGCUCCGGUAGGGAGCGACGACGGCGGCUCGUUCUGACGGUAGUACUGGUCGUUUGAUGGUCUCAAAAUCUCGAUGUAACUUUUAUUAUGUUUGAGAUACUUUGUACUUACGAUGAACUUUUAUUAGAGAUGCAAUCCCUUUUAUGUGGAUAUAACUUCUUAGGGAUUGGUUAGAGAUGCUUAUUAGAGCAAGUACAAUAAUCCUACAUAAGCAGGUUGUAAGAGUUAAAAUAUUAUAUUUCUACUGGCAUGGAGGGGAGAGAAGAGGGGAGGAAAGAGGAGCCAGCUACAAUAAGAGCAAGCUGCAGCACGUGCUCCUAGGCACUAUGUGAGAGUGAAAGGUGGGCCAUGUAUUAGUAAAGUAGCACAUCUUUAUAUACUAGGUGACACCCCGCACCUUGUUGCGGGAAUAGUGUGCAACAUUUUCAAUGAGAUUCACUGCAUGAAACAUGAAUAUUUUGAGUAGUAAGAGCUAAAACUGAUAAUACAUAUUAGUUAUUGUAUUUGAUUAUUGUAUAGUGGUAAAAUAUUUAUUAAAUAUAAAUAACAUAAUGAAAUGAAAAUACUCAUGUAUGUUUACAUGUUGAGGUGAGUCCUUUUCCAUACAUGUUGCAUGAUGAUGUGGCAUGCUUGUAUGUUGAAACAAAUAGGGUAGUGGAGGUGGGCUUUUCCCAUGCAUGUUCUAUGAUGAGGUGGCAUGCUUGCAUGUUGAGAGAAAUAGAUUAGUGGGGGCUAGCUAUUUAGAUAUAGAAGAUAACUAUUGUACGUGCGGGCUAUAAAGUUGGUUAUAGAUAACAUGUCAACAUCAUAUGGCCAUCAGCUGGCUGUACUAUUAACCAUGCUCUUAUAGCAUCUCCAACAGCCGCGCGAUAUAAGCGCUGCGCUGGAAAAUUCUGUUUUUUGCGCGCGUGCAGCCGCUCCGGGAGCUCCAGCGGAGGCGCAAAAAACGCACGCGCGGCAUAAGUGGUUCAGCGCGCGGGGCAAAACGGCAUCGCGCGCCGCUUAUUUCCGGCGCCCGCUCCCACGCGCUGCACACUCGAGCGCCCGCGCCGCAUCCUCUUCGGCAGCGCCGCUUUCGCCCCUCCCGCGCCGCCGUCGGCGAAUUUGCUCGAUGGACGGCCGUGCCGACAUCCCCCUCACCCCUUUCUACACCCGCGACCCCUCCGCCGCCGUCGCCACUGGCGGCGGUGCAAACCCUAGCGCGGGGAGCUUUGGCUUCGCCUCCGCCGGUGCUCCUCCAAGCACCGGUCUCGCUGCGGGCUUUUCAUGGCGCCACAGACGACCUAGGCGGCGGGUGGCGUCGCACGGAUGCCCGCCGUGAAGCCACGUGACCUUUUCAUGGUGCCAUUUGUUUGUGUGAACUUUAUGUCAUGAACUUGGUUGGAUGAUUUUGAACUUUGGAUGAUGAUGUGAUGCGGCAUGAUUUUGAACCUUUUAUGUCAUGAACUUGUUUGGGUGAUUUUAAACUAUGCUAUGUCUUGUUUUGAUGUUUGAAAUAUCACCAUAUUGUCUCCAAAAUGAACAUAUUACAAACGCCGGCUGCUCUCGCGCGCUGUAGUUUAGCGCGUCUGCUGGAGCGGCGCGCGCGCAAUUUUUUGCAGCGGCCGCUGAAGCCAGCGCUCCUCGGCGUGCAAAAACUGGCUAUAGAGGCGCUGUAAAUGUUUAUUUAGCACGCCACGUGUUGCACGCAUGCUGGAGAUGCUCAAUGGGAGUAACUUGAGCAAUAACAUUAAGUCCAACUCAGCAAAUUUGCUUAUGUGGCAAUGAGUUAAUGAGGAGAGAGAUAAUUACAGUAACUUAACUAGUUACUGUAACAUCACAUGUCUCAAUGCAAUAUGAAUCUAUAACCUAAUAAAUAAACAUAUGCAUGACACCACAUUUAUGUUACUACCCAUUAUGAAGAUAAUAAUAUAGUCUAGGGAUAUGUGUAUAUUACAUGUUACUCCACCAGGCGGGCGGGGCGGGGGAUCCGGCUGAGAAAGCGAGAAAAUAAAGAAGCGGAAAACCAGGGGAAACAGUGAAGGAAAGCAGUUGUCGCUGGUCAGAGCAGUAAUCGCUCCUAUUUCCACACUACACGAAAUGGGGGCAAAGCACCAGCGCGGCGGAAACAGUACCGCGGCACAGACUGCGCCAUCACCACCAGUCCAUCUCGCCCCAAAGCCCAGAGGCUCCUCCACUCGCCUUUCCCCUCCCCUCCGCCGCCGCCUCCUCUCCCUCGGCGCAGCAUCGCCCCCUCGAUCCCGCGCUCCCCCGGCCAGUUCGCGGUCUCCCGCCGCGAUUCCGCGCGGUGGGACGGCCGAUCCGGCCGGGCCCUGUUCGUGUGGUGUGGGCACGUAGCUCGCUCGGAUUCGCGGGGAGAAUCGGCGGCCGGAUCGUACGAUGGGCAGGUUGGUGGCUUGAGCUUCAGUUAUUGCUAAUUGUGAGUGUGAUUUCGUGGUAGCCGUGUGGGGGCGCUUGUGCUUCCCGGAAUUGCAUGCGGUGCAUGCGUGUCUCGAGGCUUCAGUUUGUGCUCCCGUUCGUGGAAUGUGCGAUCCGGUUCUAGGAGGUCCGAAUUUAGGCCGUUUUUUGUGAGAAUUUUCGCUGGUGGGGUUAGUGCUAGUCUACUGUCUAGUUGAUCGUACAAGUGUUCUAGGUGAUUGUAUAAGUUAGGCCAACAGAAGUAAAAAUGGUAGAGAAGAUUUGAUACGUUUACUGUUUGGAAGAGAAGGGCUAGAAGGACUUAUUUAUCCAAUGUCAUGUUCAUACUUCUGGACCGUGUGGUUAGUUCGAUCACUGGAGGCAAUGUUGCUUAUGGCAUAUACGAUACAGUAAUGUAGGGUUUUCUAUAUUUCAGUGGUUUAAUUCCUGGCAUGCAUCAUUUUUUCUGUAUGACAAUUCAUGAACAGUGAUUUCCAAGUUGAACUAUUGGUGAAUAUUGGGUUCUAUCUCGCUGAUAUGUGCUUGUUUACACCUUCUUUUUACAGUGAUCUUCUACUGGAUAGUGUGGUAUUGUGCUGAAAUCACCGCGGACUCUCUUUUGUGACUGUCUCUGAUACUGAUUGGUGUAUUGGGCCUCUUCUUCUUCAUCAUCAAUGGGCAUUGUGAAGGUUGCAAGUGGUGCGCCUAUAGCGAAGAGUGGUUACAGCCGUGAAAAUGAGGACCUUACACAAGAGGAGAGAUUACUGCUUGAGAGCUUUCCUAGUCAAGGUUCUGCCGAUGACUGCGAACAUGCGGAGGUCGAUUGUGAGCUUGCAAUGUCUGGAGGCCAGUUGUGCAAUGUGCCUUAUGGGCUUUAUGAUCUGCCUGGGUUAAAUGACAUACUGUCUCUGGAGACGUGGAACUCAUGUCUAACAGAAGACGAUAGAUUCCGUCUAGCAGCAUACCUCCCGGACAUGGACCAACAUGACUUCUUUACGACAAUGACGGAGCUCUUGAGUGGCAGUGCUAUGUUCUUUGGGAGUCCACUUAGAGGGUUUUUUGACAGAUUGAACGGUGGAUUUUAUUCUCCAGAAGUUUCUCGGGCACGAGAAUUACUGAUGAACUUUCAGAGACGAAGGUAUUAUCAUUUUCUGAAGUUGUAUCAUGAUGGCAUUGUUUGGAAGUUUGCGUGCAUGGACAAGCUGUGGAGAAGAAAUCUUGUGGAUACUAGUCUUGAGGAGAAGAUUCACAUUUGGCACAACUGGAUACAAGAGAAGCUUCUCACAUUUGCAGAUCCAAACAGUUCUCCUUUGAAUGCAAGACUAUCAAAUAUUGGUGAGGUUGAAGCUGCCAGUUUUGCACCAUUGAAGCGAGCUAAACUUAUAGAAGGGACAUCAAGUACCAAUUGGUCAGCCAAAUACAAGGAGAUAGUCCAUGGAGCAAAAUCAGUGGAAAUUAGCUCAUUGAAUAGUCACAUUUUUCACCUUCGAGAUGUGCCCGGUGAAAAAUGUACCAAACCACCAAAAGUCGUGCUUAAAGCAAAUGCCGACAGUGAUUCCUUUGCUCAUGGCAAUGCAGGAAUACAUCAUACACCAGGACUGAUCCCACUCGCUCAGCUGGGAGUGCAGGUCUCCACCUUUUCUCCUUAUGCUUUUUCACAGCAUGUACAUAAUUUUUCUGUGAAUCCAUCUUAUCCUUUAUACAUAAACACAAGGAGAAGUUCUUUAGGCAGUUCAAGCUCAAAAGCCUGGCAGUCGGAGGGUGCACUAGAAACUUACCCUAUCUUGGUCAAAAGCCCAUUUGGAGUCCAGCAUGCUGUUUUAGAGGAUCUCAAAACAGGCAACCAUUCUGCAGCGUUGAGUGGGUAUCAGUCAGCAGCUAAACCUAUCACAGCAUAUUCAGAUGAAGGAAACGACACAAGAGAAUCCCUCCAUGAGAAGAACCUUUUGAAGAACUUUGGUCGGCCGGGUGCCAUGGUUCCUGAAAGUUCUCCUGGUCUGUAUGUGAGAACCGCCAUUGGCCACGAGACGAACGGAUUGAUGAAAAUGUCCAACCCAGGAAAUGCUGACAUUAUUUCUGAGAUGCUUACCCUUGGUGCAAGCACAAACCCACCUUAUAACUUCCCGAUGCAGUCUGAAACAGUGCUCAAACAGCAUCAUGAUGGACUGAAGACGAAGGCACCUCCUUUCAUGAACUCUGCUACAAGAGUUGAAGGACAUAGAUUCCCUUACACAUACACAAGGAGGAAGCCACACAGGGCGGUCGACCUCGUGGAUCCUGUUGAGACGCCGACCAUGGUGGGUUCAGAGACAGCGAGUGGGCUGGCUAGCAUGGCAAAUGUAAAGGCGAAGGGCAUCAAACUUUGAAGUUUGCGAGCAACAAACAAGGAGAUCUGAUUAUAGAGAUGGGGAGUUGGCUUAGCAUCUAGCUAACAUAGUAAAUAAGGGGAAUGUUUUGCUUUCGGUUGCGAAGUCGAAUUGGCUGAAGCCUCCCUUUGUUACAGUAUCAUUCGGUAUCUCAAUAGAACAAGUAGUUAACAAUCCUGUUAGAUGAAAUAUGCAAAGCAGUCGAGUCUCACACCUAAUUAUUUUCCAAUGACUCUUUGCUGCAAUUAUAUAGUAAAUUCUUACGGGCUUCAGAUUUCUCUGUGAUAUCUAUAUAUUUCUGAUGUAUUAUCUCUGUUCUCAAUUUUCAUUCCGUUCAGUCAACACAGUCUCUAAUAUAUGUCAGCCGUUUAUGUGAAAUGUAAUUGUACUCAACUUUGACGAAAAAUGAAAACUAGCAGCGUAGUUUCUACGUGACGAAGCAAAUUGACAAGUGUGCUAUACUUAAAUACAAUCUAUGUAGGACUGAAUUUUCACAGAUUCAUCGGUUCAGAGUUCGAGAUUUGAAACUUGAAAUUCGUGUUAUCUCUAGCAUCAACCAGAGAGGAUAAUAAAGUAUAAACCAAACCAUGCCACCAUCUUAUAUUACCUUAUCAAUGGAUUAAGGCAUGCCAAAGAAAAAACUUGAAUAAAAUCAUAUUAUAUCCUGAAUUCUUUUUAAGUUGUGAUCCAAAAGGAAGAUGAAGGAACUUCAAAGAACAAUAGGCAUGAGAGGCAUCCGGAAAGCUCAAACCAAAACCUCUUCUAGUGAUAGAAUAGGAACCGAGGUCUUUAGGCUUCCAUCAUUUUCCCGUGCCUACUGCUCUUAGAGCAUCUCUAGCAGACCCUUUAUAUUCGGGCGAACGGUAAAAACCCGCGAUACGGGUUUGUCCCAUUUUUUGGGCCAGACCAGAGCCCGUAUAUUCGCUCAGCCCGUCAAAGAUUUUACAGUGGCCCGCAAACCGCCCCCGCCCACGCGGUAUAUCUACGGGUUUGCCGCGAGUAUACGGGCCGAAACCCUAUCCCUCCGCCGCCGCGAUUCCCCAACCCCUCUUCGAUUUCUCGCCGCCGGUGAGCUUAAAUCCACCGCCCCCGCCCACCGAUCUGCGACGAUGUGGAGCUCUGGCCGGCGCGAUGGCGGCGGCGACCUGGAGCGCAAGCGUUGCAUCACCGUUGACGCAGCGCGCAAGCGCGCGGCCAAGCGCUACACGAACUACGGGUUCUCGGUGCCGGCGUCCCUUCUCCGCUCCGCGCCGUCAAGAUCGAGCCGGGGGAGGAGCGGCCGUGCGGGCGCGGCGUCAUCGGCCCGAAGGACUACCUCGUCGGGCUCGACACGGACGCCUUCGAAGCGGCGCUCAUCGAGCGCACUGUGCUACUUCUUGAGUUUGUGUUGGUUUUUCCCUUGAAGAGGAAAGGGUGAUGCAGCAAAGUAGAGAUAAGUAUUUUCCUCGGUUGAGAACCAAGGUAUCAAUCCAGUAGGAGGAACACACAAGUCACCAAUGGUUGCACCUACACAAACAAACAAAUACUUGCACCCAACGCGAUAAAGGGUUGUCAAUCCUUCACGGCUACUUGCAAGGAUGAGAUCUGAUAGUGAUAGAUAUAAAAGAUAAAUAAAAUGCAAAAUAAGAUAAAAUUGCAGCAAAGUAAUUUUGCAUUUUUGAGUUUAUAGAUCUGAAAAUAAUAUGAUAAAAAUAGACCCGGAGGCCAUAGUUUUCACUAGAGGCGUCUCUCUUGAAAGAAAGCAUACGGUGGGUAAACAAAUUACUGUUGAGCAAUUGAUAGAAAAGCGCAUAGUUAUGACGAUAUCUAAGGCAAUGAUCAUGAAUAUAGGCAUCACGUCCCUGACAAGUAGACCGACUCAUGCCUGCAUCUACUACUAUUACUGCAAACAUUGACCGCUAUCUAGCAUGCAUCUAAUGUAUUAAGUUAACUAGAACGGAGUAACGCCUUAAGCAAGAUGACAUGAUGCAGAGGGAUAGAUCCAAUCAAUAUGAACAAAUCUCAUCUUUUUAUCCUUAAUGGCAACAAUACAAAUACAUGUCAUGUCCCUCUCUGUCACUGGGAAUAAACACCGCAAGAUUGAACCCAUUACAAAGCACCUCUCUCAUUGCAAGAAAAAUCAAUCUAGUUGGCCAAACCAAAUCAAUAGAUCAGAGAGAAAUACAAAUUAUCUUAAUCAUUCAUAAAAGAGUUCAGAGAAGACUCAAAUAAUAUUUAUAGAUAAUCUGAUUAUAAACCCACAAUUCAUCGGAUCUCAACAAACGCACCGCAAAAGAAGAUUACAUCGAAUAGAUAUUCAAGAACAUCGAGGAGAACAUUGUAUUGAAGAUCAAAGAGAGAGAAGAAACCAUCUAGCUACUAGCUAUGGACCCGUAGGUCUGUGGUAAACUACACACACAUCAUCGGAAGGGCAGCAAGGUCGAAUCCCCCUCAGACAGAGUACCGGAAAAGGCCUCCAGAUGGGAUCUCGCGAGAAUAGAAACUUGCGGCGGCGGAAAAGUAUCUUUGGUGUGCCCCAUGGUCUACGGGGAAUAUUUGGGUAUUUAUAGAAGAAGAAUUAGGGUUAGAGGGGCUACGGGGGGCACAAGCUUGGGGGAGCUCCUCCCCUAGGGCGCGCCCUGCAAGCUUGUGGCCAUCCCGUGGCUCCUCUAGCCUCCUCCCAAAGCUUCUAGGGUGUCUUGUGGUCCAAGAAAAAUCGUCAAAAAGUUUCGUUCCAUUUGGACUUCGUUUGGUAUUGAUUUUCUGUAAAGGCAAAAACAAGGAAAAAACAACAACUGACACUUGGCACUAGGUUGAUAGGUUAGUCCCAAAAAUGAUAUAAAAUAACAUAAUAAUGCACAUAAAACAUCCAAGAUUGAUAAUAUAAUAGCGUGAAACAAUAAAAAAUUUACCAAUCACACUGCGCGCGAGCAGGAGGAGGAGGACACGCGUCGCCGGCGGGACGAGGAGCUUAGUGACCUCCUCUUCGAGCAGGCGCUCGCCGCCGCGCGCGAGUUCGACACCAAGAAGGCAGCAUGGCGCCGCAAGCAGGAGGAGCAAGACAAGAAGUACGUCGACCUUGUCUCCUCUUCCGACGAUGAUGAGUGAGCGCCGCCGCCACAGCAUCACCGCCACACCCGAAGAGCUCCGGCGAGCUCCGAUUUUGGCUAGUUUAGGGGUAGGGCGGCAUCGCGAUGUAAAAUAACUUUGGAAAUGUAGCGAUGAUCAAACUAUGAAUGUAGUAUGUGUUCUUCAUUUCGCCCGUGAAUGCUUUCUUUCAAAAUUUAUAGUUUCAAAUACGGGUUUUGUUCGGCCGCAACCGAUUUCACCCCGCAAACAUCUGAUUUCUUGGUCCUUAUCCACGAUAUAAGGACUGCUGAUAUGCGAGGUCUAUUAGAGAUGCUCUUAUGCUUCUUUUCUUAACCUUUUUCUCUCAUAGAGAACAUCUCUUAUCACCUCAAUAUAUGUACAUAUAUUUUAGUUUUUCUGCUAAUUGAUUUAGCAACAAAAAGGAGGAAGAGGAAGGAGCACAUAAGAAUGAUAGGAAUGAGUGACCGGUAAGUUAGGCUUUCCUAUAUCUUCUCAUUCCUACUGCUCUUAUGCCCUCUCUAUCUUACUCUUCCAAGCUCGCAUUUGACUCACAUUGAAUAUGUGCACACAUGUAUGUGUUUUCUAAGUUAAAGCAACCAAGCAAGCCAAAAAAGGAAGAGGAAGGAGUGCUUGAGGACAAAAGGAAUGAGAGGCAUCGGGAAACACCAAAUUGAGUUCUCACCUCCAAUACUAGAGGUGAAAACAAAACAAGUCAUACUUUCCUCCAUGUUUCCAUUCCUACUGCUCUUUUUCUCUCUCUUCUCAACUAGCCUUCAAGAUCUCAGAUUGUCUAAGUAUGUCGCACAAUUCUCAAAAAAACUUAAGAAAUGUACACACAAAUAUGGACUUCUUCAUUAUUAUAUUGUGCAAGCCAAAAAGAAGCAGAUGGGAUGCUCAAGAACAAUAGGAAUGGAAGACAUCAGGAACCUUAAGGGAGUCAAGUAAUGAAGACACUGAGUGCAUCCAACAUCACUAGACAGUCGAUGUCAAUGGGUCCUAUUGUCUUGUACCAUUGAUGCAAAGCAUGUACAUGGAGAUCUUCAGCUUCUAGACAUUCGGGAAGCAAUGCAUUUAUACAGUAGAAGCUUUAAGUCAAAAAAUAGUAUAAACUUGGAAAUUUAAGCCCGCUAACUGAUACGUCCAUUUUGCAUCAUGCUUUUAUAUCGAUAUUUAUUGCAUUAUGGGUUGUUAUUACACGUUACGUCACAAUACUUAUGCCUUUUCUAUCUUAUUUUACAAGGUUUACAUGAAGAGGGAGAAUGCCGACAGCUGGAAUUCUGGGCUGGAAAAGGAGCAAAUAUUAAAGACCUAUUCUGCACAACUCCAAAAGUCCUGAAACUUCACGGAAGUUAUUUUUGGAAUUAAUAAAAAAUACUGAGCAAAGAAAGUACCAGAGGAGGGCCACCGACCAUCCACGAGGGUGGGAGGCGCGCCCCCUGCCUCGUGGGCCCCCUGGCAGGCCUCCGGUGCCCAUCUUCUGCUAUAUGAAGUCUUUUACCCUGGAAAAAUCAUAAGCAAGCUUUCGGGAAGAAACUCCGCCGCCAUGAGGCGGAACCUUGGCGGAACCAAUCUAGGGCUCUAGCGAAGCUGUUCUGCUGGGGAAACUUCCCUCCGGGAGGUGGAAAUCAUCGCCAUCGUCAUCACCAACGAUCCUCUCAUCGGGGGGGGGGGGUCAAUCUCCAUCAACAUCUUCACCAGCACCAUCUCCUCUAAAACCCUAGUUCAUCUCUUGUAUCCAAUCUUUGUCCCAAAGCCUCAGAUUGCUACCUGCGGGUUGCUAGUAGUGUUGAUUACUCCUUGUAGUUGAUGCUAGUUGGUUUAUUUGGUGGAAGAUCAUAUGUUCAGAUCCUUUAUGCAUAUUAAUACCCCUCUGAUUAUGAACAAGAAUAUGAUUUGUGAGUAGUUACGUUUGUUCCUGAGGACAUGGGAGAAGUCUUGCUAUAAGUAGUCAUGUGAAUUUGGUAUUCGUUCGAUAUUUUGAUGAGAUGUAUGUUGUCUCUCCUCUAGUGGUGUUAUGUGAACGUCGACUAGAUGACACUUCACCAUUGUUUGGGCCUAGAGGAAGGCAUUGGGAAGUAAUAAGUAGAUGAUGGGUUGCUAGAGUGACAGAAGCUUAAACCCUAGUUUAUGAGUUGCUUCGUAAGGGGCUAAUUUGGAUCCAUAUGUUCCAUGCUAUGGUUAGGUUUACCUUAAUACUUCUUUUGUAGUUGCGGAUGCUUGCAAUAGGGGUUAAUCAUAAGUGGGAUGCUUGUCCAAGAAAGGACAGCACCCAAGCACCGGUCCACCCACAUACCAAAUUAUCAAAGUAACUAAUGCGAAUCAUAUGAGCGUGAUGAAAACUAGCUUGACGAUAAUUCCCAUGUUUCCUCGGGAGCGUUUUACUUCAUAUAAGAGUUUGUCCAGGCUUGUCCUUUGCUACAAAAAGGAUUGGGCCAUCUUGCUGCACCUUAUUUACUUUCAUUACUUGUUACCCGUUACAAAUUACCUUAUCACAAAACUAUCUGUUACCUAUAAUUUCAGUGCUUGCAGAGAAUACCUUACUGAAAACCGCUUGUCAUUUCCUUCUGCUCCUCGUUGGGUUCGACACUCUUACUUAUCAAAUGGACUACGAUAGAUCCCCUAUAAUUGUGGGUCAUCAAGACUCUUUUCUGGCGCUGUUGCCGGGGAGUGAAGCGCCUUUGGUAGGUGGAAUUUGGUAAGGAAAAAUUUAUAUAGUGUGCUGAAAUUUACUGUCACUUGUUACUAUGGAACAUAAUCCUUUGAGGGGCUUGUUCGGGGUAUCUUCACCCCGACCAGUAGAGCAAAGAGUUGCUCCUCAACCUACUGAAAAUGUUUACUUUGAAAUUCCUUCGGGUAUGAUAGAUAAACUGCUAGCUAAUCCUUUUACAGGAGAUGGAACAUUACAUCCCGAUUUGCACAUAAUCUAUGUGGAUGAAGUUUGUGGAUUAUUUAAGCUUGCAGGUAUGCCCGAGGAUGUUAUCAAGAAGAAGGUCUUCCCUUUAUCUUUGAAGGGAGAGGCAUUGACAUGGUUUAGGCUAUGUGAUGAUGGAUCAUGGAACUACAACCGAUUGAAAUUGGAAUUUCAUCAGAAGUUUUAUCCUAUGCAUCUUGUUCGUCGUGAUCGUAAUUAUAUAUAUAAUUUUUGGCCUCGCGAAGGAGAAAGCAUCGCUCAAGCUUGGGGGAGGCUUAAGUCAAUGUUAUAUUCAUGCCCCAAUCAUGAGCUCUCAAGAGAAAUGAUUAUUCAAAAAUUUUAUGCUCGGCUUUCUCUUAAUAAUCGCUCCAUGCUCGAUACUCCUUGUACUUACUCUUUUAUGAUGAAGACUAUUGAAUUCAAAUGGGAUUUAUUGGAAAUAAUUAAAUGCAACUCUGAAGAUUGGGACCUCGACGAAGGUAAGGAGUCAGGUAUAACACUUAAGUUUGAUUGUAUCAAAUCUUUUAUGGAUACCGAUGUUUUCCGUGAAUUUAGCACUAAAUAUGGACUUGACUCUAAGAUAGUAGCUUCUUUCUGUGAAUCCUUUGCUACUCAUGUUGAUCUCCCUAAGGAGAAGUGGUUUAAAUAUAAUACUCCCAUUGAAGUAAAAGUAGUUGCACCUAUUAAAGUUGAAGAAAAGACUAUCACUUAUAAUGAUCCUGUCGUUCCUACUGCUUAUAUUGAGAAACCACCUUUCCCUGUUAGAAUAAAGGAUCAUGCUAAAGCUUCAACUGUGGUCAACAAAAGUAAUAUUAGGACACCCAAACCCCCUGAGCAAAUUAAAGUUGAACCUAGUAUUGCUAUGGUUAAAGAUCUCUUGGUUGAUAAUAUUGAUGGGCAUGUUAUUUACUUCUGUAAUGAAGCUGCUAGAAUUGCUAGACCUGAUACUAAAAAUAAACAUAGACCUGUUGUAGGCAUGCCUAUUAUUUUUGUUAAAAUAGGAGAUCAUUGUUAUAAUGGAUUAUGUGAUAUGGGUGCUAGUGCAAGUGCAAUACCUCAUUCCUUAUACAAAGAAGUUAUGCAUGAUAUUGCACCUGCUGAGUUGGAGGAAAUUGAUGUUACAAUUAAGCUUGCCAAUAGAGACACUAUUUCACCAGUUGGGAUUGUUAGAGAUGUUGAAGUCUUCUGUGGGAAAUUUGAAUAUCCCGCUGAUUUUCUUGUUCUUGGUUCCCCACAAUGUGACGCCCCCGAUUUGACCGUACACUAAUCAUGCACGCAAAUGUGUACGAUCAAGAUCAGGGACUCACGGGAAGAUAUCACAACACAACUCUACAACAUAAAUAAGUCAUACAAGCAUCAUAAUACAAGCCAGGGGCCUCGAGGGCUCGAAUACAAGUGCUCGAUCAUAGACGAGUCAGCGGAAGCAACAAUAUCUGAGUACAGACAUAAGUUAACAAGUUGCCUUAAGAAGGCUAAUACAAAAGUAACAACGAUCGAAAAGGCAAGGCCUCCUGCCUGGGACCUCCUAACUACUCCUCGAAGCCGAACUCCAUGUAGAAUCAUCCUCGGGAUCUCUAGCUCCUGGACUCCAGCAUCUGGUUGCGACAAUCAGGUAUAGAAAGGGGAAAAGAGGGAGAAAAGCAACCGUGAGUACUCAUCCAAAGUACUCGCAAGCAAGGAGCUACACUACAUAUGCAUGGGUAUAUGUGUAAAGGGCCAUAUUAGUGGACUGAACUGCAGAAUGCCAGAAUAAGGGGGGGAUAGCUAAUCCUGUCGAAGACUACGCUUCUGGCCAUCUCCAUCUUGCAGCAUGUAGAAGAGAGUAGAUUGAAGUCCUCCAAGUAGCAUCGCAUAGCAUAAUCCUACCUGGCGAUCCCCUCCUCGUCGCCCUGUUAGAGAGCGAUCACCGGGUUGUAUCUGGCACUUGGAAGGGUAUGUUUUAUUAAGUAUCCAUUUCUAGUUGUCAUAAGGUCAAGGUACAACUCCGGGUCGUCCUUUUACCGAGGGACACGGCUAUUCGAAUAGAUAAACUUCCCUGCAGGGGUGCACCACAUAACCCAACACGCUCGAUCCCAUUUGGCCGGACACACUUUUCUGGGUCAUGCCCGGCCUCGUAAGAUCAACACGUUGCAGCCCCACCUAGGCUCAACAGAGAGGUCAGCACGCCGGUCUAAACCUAUGCGCGCAGGGGUCUGGGCCCAUCGCACUAUGCACACCUGCACGUUGCGUACGCGGCCGGAAGCAGACCUAGCCCCCUUAAUACAAGCGCGAGCUUACGGUCCAAUGCGGCGCGCGCCACUCAGUUGCUGACGUCAAAAGAGCUUCGGCUGAUACCACGACGUCGGGAUACCCAUAACUACUCCCGCGUAGAUGGUUAGUGCGUAUAGACCAAAUGGCCAGACUCAGAUCAAAUACCAAGAUCCCGUUAAGCGUGUUAAGUAACCACGAACGCCGACCAAGGCCAGGCCCACCUCUCUCCUAGGUGGUCUCAACCUGCCCUGUCGCUCCGCCACAAAGUAACAGUCGGGGGCCGUCAGGAACCCAGGCCCACCUCUACCGGGGUAGAGCCACCUGUCCUUUCAGCCCCCUCAUCAUAAUCACUUGCGGGUACUCCUCGAGUCGACCCGACUUUAGUCACCACAUGUGUCAUGUAUAUAAUGUAUAUAGUAUAUUCCCGUGAUCACCUCCUGAAGUGAUCACGGCCCAGUAGUAUAGCAUGGCAGACGGACAAGAGUGUAGGGCCACUGAUGGAACACUAGCAUCCUAUACUAAGCAGUAGGAUAGCAGGUAAGGGUAACAACUGUAGCAACAAUGACAGGCUAUGCAUCAGGAUAGGAUUACCGGAAAGCAGUAACAUGCUACACUACUCUAAUGCAAGCAGUAUAGGGAAGAAUAGGCGAUAUCUGGUGAUCAAGGGGGGGGCUUGCCUGGUUGCUCUGGCAAGUAGGAGGGGUCAUCAACUCCGUAGUCGAACUGGGCAGCAGCAGUGUCGGUCUCGUAGUCUACCGGAGAGAAGAGGGGGAAGAAACAGUAAAUACAAUGCAAACAUAAACAUGACGAUGCGUGACAUGACAAUGAGCAGUGCGAGGUGUGUCCUCACGCGACAGUAGGUGGUACCGGCGAAGGGGGGAACAUCCGGGAAGUAUUCCCGAUGUUUCGCAUUUUCGGACAGAUGAAACGAAGGGGGAAAGUUGCGUGUUCGAUAGGUUAGGGAGGUGUGGUGGACGAACGGGCUACGUAUUCGGAUUCGCCUCGUCGUUCUGAGCAACUUUCAUGUUGAAAAUAUUUUAAUCCGAGUUACGGAUUAAAAGAUAUGAUUUUCUAAAGAUUUUAUUAAUUUCUGGAAUUUAACUAAUUAUUUAAAUUAAUUUGAAAAUGGAAUUAUGACAUCAGCAUGAUGUCAUGCUGACGUCAGCAGUCAACGUUGACCGUUGACCUGGUCAACCUGACAGGUGGGUCCCACCUGUCAGGGGCAGUUACCUAAUUAACUACUGUUUAGUUAAUUAAUUAUCUAAUUAGAUUAAUUUAAACAGGAUUAAUUAACUUAAUUAAUUUAGUUAAUUANNNNNNNNNNNNNNNNNNNNNNNNNNNNNNNNNNNNNNNNNNNNNNNNNNNNNNNNNNNNNNNNNNNNNNNNNNNNNNNNNNNNNNNNNNNNNNNNNNNNNNNNNNNNNNNNNNNNNNNNNNNNNNNNNNNNNNNNNNNNNNNNNNNNNNNNNNNNNNNNNNNNNNNNNNNNNNNNNNNNNNNNNNNNNNNNNNNNNNNNNNNNNNNNNNNNNNNNNNNNNNNNNNNNNNNNNNNNNNNNNNNNNNNNNNNNNNNNNNNNNNNNNNNNNNNNNNNNNNNNNNNNNNNNNNNNNNNNNNNNNNNNNNNNNNNNNNNNNNNNNNNNNNNNNNNNNNNUCAAUGGCCCUAGGAGCCUAACGGGCGAAUGGGUUACGGGCAUGGGGGCGCUGGCGAAACGGGGCGGAGCCCCAGGGUGCGGGCGUAACCCGCCGAGGUGACGCAGCAGAGCCGGGCGCGGGCGCCAGCGGCCAGGGGCCGCGACGGCGACCGGAGCAGGGCUGGGGCGGCGACCGGAGCAGCAGAGGGUAGCAUCAGCGGGUGGCGGCUGUAUCGAGUGGUGGGAGCAGGGGCGCAGGUCGCCGGAGCCAGAGGGAGCGGGUGCGCCGGCAAGGCGACGACCAACGCGCGAGGCUUGGAGUCUGAGGCGCGGCUGACGCGCACGGGCGCGGCCGACGCGCGCGGGCACGGCCAGGGGCGGCUCGGUGAGCGCGAGGUCGUCACGAGCUUCGGGCGCGAGCGGGACAACGCAAAUCGAUGGUGGGAUCGACGGGGAAGAGGGGAACGGACAUGGCUCACUGGGAGGAGGUCGAUGGAGAGCUCGGGACGGUCGGAGUGGCGUCGGAGAGGUGGGCCAACGCGGUGGUGGUCGUGGCCGAGGCGGACGGGGACGACCGGCGAAGGAGAGGCGGGGACGGGGAGUCCGGCUGGGGAAGAGUUGGGGNNNNNNNNNNNNNNNNNNNNNNNNNNNNNNNNNNNNNNNNNNNNNNNNNNNNNNNNNNNNNNNNNNNNNNNNNNNNNNNNNNNNNNNNNNNNNNNNNNNNNNNNNNNNNNNNNNNNNNNNNNNNNNNNNNNNNNNNNNNNNNNNNNNNNNNNNNNNNNNNNNNNNNNNNNNNNNNNNNNNNNNNNNNNNNNNNNNNNNNNNNNNNNNNNNNNNNNNNNNNNNNNNNNNNNNNNNNNNNNNNNNNNNNNNNNNNNNNNNNNNNNNNNNNNNNNNNNNNNNNNNNNNNNNNNNNNNNNNNNNNNNNNNNNNNNNNNNNNNNNNNNNNNNNNNNNNNNNNNNNNNNNNNNNNNNNNNNNNNNNNNNNNNNNNNNNNNNNNNNNNNNNNNNNNNNNNNNNNNNNNNNNNNNNNNNNNNNNNNNNNNNNNNNNNNNNNNNNNNNNNNNNNNUUUUGCUUUGUUUUGUUUUUUUUACUUUUUCUUAUUUUUCUUAUUUUUUGUUUUCUUUUAGUUCCUCUUUUAUUUUAGUUUUAUAAAAAUUAUCACUAGCACUUAAAUUAAUACUUUUAAAUAUACUAUUGCCACAUUAAUCCCCAACUCAAAUUAAAAUAGUUUAAUAUUUUAUAAAAUUCACAAGGCAUUUAUCUUAAUAUUUAAACCUCUAUUUUAAUUAUUUUGAACACUUAAACAUUUCAUUAAAGUUAGGUUUCUCCACCAUUAUUAUCUAUGCAAUAUUUGGUUCACUCCGAACAUUUUAGUUUUAAUAUUUGAAAACGUUUAUUGUUUGCUUGAUUUUGAACUUUGAAUUUGGACCGGUUUUGAUCUAACGAUAGAUUAGCAACAGUAACGGAGGUAACGUGGCACCAUUAGCAGAGUUUUACUGUAGCUUGAUUAUCCGGGCGUCACAAUUCUCCUCCACUACAAGAAAUCUCGUCCCGAGAUUUAGGAGCGGUUAUAAGGGGGAAGGGAUCUGGUUACGAAAUUCUAACGAUUCUUCUCGGUCAUAGUUGCUCUUCUCGAAGAGGCCGAUCCAUUACGUUGAUGUCUUCAGUCCUCUGCUUCAGGUCAUCAAGAUGAAGUUUGUCGUCCUUCCUACAUGAUCUUCACCGUACUUACGAAAGGGUGAGCAGGGAAAACUUUUCAUUGGAAUAGCUUAUUCCCUAUAAGGACGGAUUCUAACAAGAUCGAGCAUCAAGCGGUUAACCCAGGGGAAGAAGCAUAAGUAUCUCUCGAAUUGAAACCUAAGAAGAUGUCGAGAGCAAAGUAAGAAGGUACCAUGAGCAGUUUCAAACCGAUAGGCAAGCGUUCGAUGCCUAUCAGAAGGUGAAAGGGGUUCAGAGCAACGAGAAUAAGUAUUGCGCCUGAUACCCGAAUAGAUCACUUGGCAGGUGGCCCGUGAGUUACAUAAGAAGUCAAGCGCGAGGAAUAACUUUGGAAACCGGGGGUGUACAGGAGAGUCAGGUUUCGAUCCUGUGGAACUGUGGGUUAUGGGCCCACCAUGUGGUUUUUUUUAUAGGAGCAGUGACAUCUUGCACGGUCAUGAUAGCAAGGCAUGUCAGGGAACACCCUGUCAGUUAUGUCGGCAACACGUUGGUACCAAGGGCGAGGGACGAAGAGAACCAUUUUCCUGCUCGUUCAAACGAGGCGGACCAUUAGGCAAAGUUCUCGUCCAUCGGUGGUUACCGAAAUGUCACCAACAAUAGUAACAGGGUCUUACUGACAGAGUUGUACACCGAGGUGUUUACAUAAGCAGGAGAAUAUUACUGCUUAGAUCAUAUAGAUCACCAGAAAGGUUAAACCAAACAAUGGAAAGGAAAAUAUGAUUAUCAGAUUAAACAGAAGAAUGGAAAGGAAAAUGUGUUUAAACACAUAUUUCAGGGGUAUAUCCUUCCCAAGGACAAGCAGCGUAUCAUAUCCAUGACAGGAUAGAAAGUAGAAAACCAUUUAGGUAAGGGGAGAGGAAUUUCAUGACAUCACCCAUACAACGGUGUUUGGAUAAUUGAGCAAGAAACAUUUAGUAUUGGGCUUCAAAUGUUCUUGUUGAAAAUCGGAGUACCAUAGACAUGCUUUGAGAUAGCAUUGACAUGGUCAACAGGUGAAGAUCAGAAUUUGGAAACAAAAAGGAUCCAUCAGGAACAACUUAUAGAAUAAGUCUUACAAUUUCCUCAUGGAAGAAUAGAUAACCUUGCUGAAAGGAAAGCUUAUAACAAUAGGUCCUCCGGCCAGGUGUGUUCGGCAUGUCAUCCCUUACCGGGUCAUAAAUAGGCCAAUGUUAUAACUCUUGGAAAUAUGUUCCAACCAUCAUAUCUGACCGAGAUUCAGAUUUGAUUGGUGUCAGGAUAACUCAGACUUAGGAUGCCUGAGAAGAAAAGGUGCGACACAAUUUGAAGAGAUGACAUUGUAAGAUUCUCGGGAAAUGAACUAUGGAAGCGAGUUCCGAAAUAAGAGUUCAUCAUUAAACCAAGGAGAGGGUUAGGAGGUGGCUGAUGGACUCAGCGACAUUCCAUUGAGAUUUCCAAAAGAUGGAUUUCCACAACUAUGUGAACAAGGAGAUAACAUUAGCUAGAUCGAAUGACUUAAUGAUGUAUGCUCGAGGAAAACAUACACAAUUAAACAUUGGUUGAAAGGUGCACCCGAAUAUGGGCUUAGGUAGCAUGAUCAAGGUUAGAAUGGUGAUUCGAUAACCAAUACACAAGGAAUGAACUAUCGUUCAUUAACUUACAAGCGAUAGGGUUGCUGGAAGUUUUGAAUUUUACACAUCACAGUUCAUUUGUGGGUACUUCGGUUAGAAACAACACGGGGACCAAGACAAGAGUGGUGAUGUUAACUAAGUAUCACAUGUAUCAAGAAUUCUUAAGGGUGAUGAAUUUCCCAUGACAUUCUUGACAUAAAAGAUAGCAAUACUCCAAGGUAGAACAUAACAUAAGUUGGAUAACAAGGAUCUCAAGGUACAACACAAAACAUGAACAAGUUUGUAUUGAAGGGAAAGCAAGAAUGUUGCCGAUGAUAACACAAAUCAUCGAGGGGCAAGGAUGGUAUUUCUCAUCAUGAAUUCAAUUGAUAUCCUGGAGGAACUCAGAAUGCUGAUGAUGAUCAUGACAAUUUUUGUCGAGAGGUUUCAUGGAGAUGUAAUCGACCGACGAUGACAUCAAGUCAAAGGAAUGAUGAAAGCGAAAGGUUAUUGGAACCACGGUUAGGACACAAACUCAGAAUCAAGUUUGCUGUUCAAGGAGAAGUGAUAUGACGAGGAAGAUCGACGUAAGCUUAGCUCAUCGUCGAAAGCUGUGCUCUGGGAAUAAGGACCAGGUAGCACAGUUAAAAUCACCAAGAUAAUGAUAUAGCCAAACAAGCUAGGAAUGGCGUGAUCGGGUACAAACUCAUACUUAAAGAAGAUUACUAAGAGUUGUUGAACCGUAGUGCGGACUCGGUUCAGUUAUCGGUGUCUUUGCGUGAUUAAUAACUCAGGGCCCGUGGAAAAUUGGAAUCAGUGAGAAUGUAGCAGUUGAUGAAGAACUCAUAAGAAGUUAUGCAGUUCCAUGUUAAUCUCGAGAUACCAGGGGGUAAUACUCGACGACAGAUCAAGGUAGAGGUUGGACUAGGGUAUUGCUCUGCAGAAGACAAGUGCUCAACUUGUACGAGAAAUGGUAUUUAAAGGAGAACAUAGUCGGAACCACGAUUGCAAAAGGCCAGAUCCCAGAUAUAAGAUGAACUUAUACCAAGGGAAUAAUUAAUUUAAGAGAAGCUUUAAUGAUAAGAGCUACAUCGACUCCAUGGGCAUGAACACUACUAUCAGUGUCCGUCUUCCUCUUGAAGAUCCAUUUAUUUCCUAUGACUUGCCGAUCACCGGGCAAGUCAACCAAAGUCCACACUUUGUUCUCAUACAUGGAUCCCAUCUCAGAUUUCAUGGCCUCAAGCCAUUUUGCGGAAUCUGGGCUCAUCAUCGCUUGCUCAUAGUUCGUAGGUUCGUCAUGGUCAAGUAACAUGACCUCCAGAACUGGAUUACCGUACCACUCUGGUGCGAAUUUCAUUCUGGUUGACCUACGAGGUUUGGUAGUAACUUGAUCUGAAGUUACAUGAUCAUCAUCAUUAGCUUCCUCACUAAUUGGUGUAGGAGUCACAGGAACAGAUUUCUGUGAUGAACUACUUUCCAAUAAGGGAGCAGGUACAGUUACCUCAUCAAGUUCUACUUUCCUCCCACUCACUUCUUUCGAGAGAAACUCCUUCUCUAGAAAGGAUCCAUUCUUAGCAACGAAUAUCUUGCCUUCGGAUUUGUGAUAGAAGGUGUACCCAACUGUCUCCUUUGGGUAUCCUAUGAAGACACAUUUCUCCGAUUUGGGUUUGAGCUUAUCAGGAUGAAACUUUUUCACAUAAGCAUCAAACUUUAAGAAACGAUAGCUUAGGUUUCUCGCCAAACCACAGUUCAUACAAUGUCAUCUCCACGGAUUUAGAUGGUGCCCUAUUUAACGUGAACGUAGCUGUCUCUAAUGCAUAACCCCAAAACGAUAGUGGUAGAUCGGUAAGAGACAUCAUAGAUCGCACCAUAUCUAAUAAAGUACGGUUACGAUGUUCUGACACACCAUUACACUGUGGUGUUCCAGGUGGCGUGAGUAGUGAAACUAUUUCACAUUGUUUUAACUGAAGGCCAAACUCGUUAACUCAAAUAUUUUACCUCUGCGAUCAUAUCGUAGAAACUUUUAUUUUCUUGUUACGAUGAUUCUCCACUUCACUCUGAAAUUCUUUGAACUUUUCAAAUGUUUCAGAGUGUUUCAUCAAGUAGAUAUACCUAUAUCUGCUCAAAUCACCUGUGAAGGUCAGAAAAUAACGAUACUUGCCGCGAGCCUUAACACUCAUCGGACUGGAUACAUCAGUAUGUAUUAUUUCCAAUAAGUCAGUUGCUCGCUCCAUUGUUCCGGAGAACGGCGUUUUAGUCAUCUUGCCCAUGAGGCAUGGUUCGUAAGCAUCAAGUGAUUCAUAAUCAAGUGAUUCCAAAAAUCCAUCAGCAUGGAGUUUCUUCACGCGCUUUACACUAAUAUGACCUAAACGGCAGUGCCACAAACAAGUUGCACUAUCAUUAUUAACUUUGCAUCUUUUGGCUUCAAUAUUAUGAAUAUGUGUAUCACUACGAUUGAGAUCCAACGAACCAUUUUCAUUGGGUGUGUAACCAUAGAAGGUUUUAUUCAUGUAAACAGAACAACAAUUAUUCUCUAACUUACAUGAAUAACCGUAUUGCAAUAAACAUGAUCAAAUCAUAUUCAUGCUCAACGCAAACACCAAAUAACAUUUAUUUAGGUUCAACACUAAUCCCGAAAGUAUAGGGAGUGUGCGAUGAUGAUCAUAUCAAUCUUGGAACUGCUUUCAACACACAUCGUCACUUCACCCUUAACUACUUUCUGUUCAUUCUGCAACUCCCGUUUCGAGUUACUACUCUUAGCAACUGAACCAGUAUCAAAUACCGAGGGGUUGCUAUAAACACUAGUAAAGUACACAUCAAUAACAUGUAUAUCAAAUAUACUUUUGUUCACUUUGCCAUCCUUCUUAUCCGCCAAAUACUUGGGGUAGUCCCGCUUCCAGUGACCAGUCCCUUUGUAGUAGAAGCACUUAGUCUCAAGCUUAGGUCCAGACUUGGGUUUUUCACUUGAGCAGCAACUUGCCUGCCGUUCUUCUUGAAGUUCCCCAUCUUCCCUUUGCCCUUUUUUUGAAACUAGUGAUCUUGUCAACCAUCAACACUUUGAUGUUUUUCUUUGAUUUCUACCUUCGCCGAUUUUAGCAUCGCGAAGAGCUUGGGAAUUGUUUUCAUCAUCCCUUGCAUAUUAUAGUUCAUCACGAAGUUCUAGUAACUUGGUGAUAGUGACUAGAGAACUUUGUCAAUUACUAUCUUAUUUGGAAGAUUAAAUCCCACUUGAUUCAAGCAAUUGUAGUACUCAGACAAUCUGAGCACAUGCUCACUGGUUGAGCUAUUCUCCUCCAUCUUGUAGGCAAAGUAGAGGUCUGAUACCUCUCGACACGGGCAUGAGUAUGAAAUACCAAUUUCAACUCUUGGAACAUCUUAUAUGCCCCGUGGCGUUCAAAACAUUUUUGAAGUCCCGGUUCUAAGCCGUAAAGCAUGGUGCACUUAACUAUCAAGUAGUCAUCAUGCCGAGCUUUUGUCAAAACGUUCAUAAUGUCUGUAUCUGCUCCUGUAAUAGGUCUGUCACCUAGCGGUGCAUCAAGGACAUAAUUCUUCUGUGCAGCAAAGAGGAUAAACCUCGGAUCACGGAUCCAAUCCGCAUCAUUGCUACUAACAUCUUUCAACUUAGUUUUCUCUAGGAACAUAUAAAAAUUAAACGGGGAGCAACAUCGCGAGCUAUUGAUCUACAACAUAGAUAUGCUAAUACUACCAGGACUAAGUUCAUGAUAAAUUAAAGUUCAAUUAAUCAUAUUACUUAAGAACUCCCACUUAGAUAGACAUCCCUCUAAUCCUCUAAGUGAUCACGUGAUCCAUAUCAACUAAACCAUGUCCGAUCAUCACGUGAGAUGGAGUAGUUUCAACGGUGAACAUCACUAUGUUGAUCAUAUCUACUAUAUGAUUCACGCUCGACCUUUCGGUCUCCGUGUUCCGAGGCCAUAUCUGUUAUAUGCUAGGCUCGUCAAGCUUAACCUGAGUAUUCCGCGUGUGCAACUGUUUUGCACCCGUUGUAUUUGAACGUAGAGCCUAUCACACCCGAUCAUCAUGUGGUGUCUCAGCACGAAGAACUUUCACAACGGUGCAUACUCAGGGAGAACACUUAUACGUUGAUAAUUUAGUGAGGGAUCAUCUUAUAAUGCUACCGUCAAUCAAAGAAAGAUAAGAUGCAUAAAAGAUAAACAUCACAUGCAAUCAAUAUAAGUGAUAUGAUAUGGCCAUCAUCAUCUUGUGCUUGUGAUCUCCAUCUCCGAAGCACCGUCAUGAUCACCAUCGUCACCGGCGCGACACAUUGAUCUCCAUCGUAGCAUCGUUGUUGUCUCGCCAAUCUUAUGCUUCUACGACUAUCGCUAUCGCUUAGUGAUAAAGUAAAGCAUUACAGGGCGAUUGCAUUGCAUACAAUAAAGCGACAACCAUAUGGCUCCUGCCAGUUGCCGAUAACUCGAUUACAAAACAUGAUCAUCUCAUACAAUAAAUUCAGCAUCAUGUCUUGACCAUAUCACAUCACAACAUGCCCUGCAAAAACAAGUUAGACGUCCUCUAUUUUGUUGUUGCAAGUUUUACGUGGCAGCUACGGGCUGAGCAAGAACCGUUCUUACCUACGCAUCAAAACCACAACGAUAGUUUGUCAAGUUGGUGUUGUUUUAACCUUCGCAAGGACCGGGCGUAGCCACACUCGGUUCAACUAAAGUUGGAGAAACUGACACCCGCUAGUCACCUGUGUGCAUAGCACGGCGGUAAAACCAGUCUCGCAUGAGCGUACGCGUAAUGUCGGUCCGGGCCGCUUCAUCCAACAAUACCGCCGAACCAAAGUGUGACAUGCUGGUAAGCAGUAUGACUUAUAUCGCCCACAACUCACUUGUGUUUUACUCGUGCGUAUGACAUCUACGCAUAAAACCAGGCUCGGAUGCCACUGUUGGGGAACGUAGUAAUUUCAAAAAAAUUCUACGCACACGCAAGAUCAUGGUGAUGCAUAGCAACGAGAGGGGAGAGUGUUGUCCACGUACCCUCGUAGACCGAAAGCGGAAGCGUUAGCACAACACGGUUGAUGUAGUCGUACGUCUUCACGAUCCGACCGAUCAAGUACCGAACGCACGGCACCUCCGGGUUCAGCACAUGUUCAGCCCGAUGACGUCCCUUGAACUCCGAUCCAGCCGAGUGUUGAGGGAGAGUUUCGUCAGCACGACGGCGUGGUGACGAUGAUGAUGUUCUACCGACGCAGGGCUUCGCCUAAGCACCGCUACAGUAUUAUUGAGGUGGACUAUGAUGGAGGGGGCACCGCACACGGCUAAAAGAUCAAACGAUCAAUUGUUGUGUCUUUGGGGUGCCCCCCUGCCCCCGUAUAUAAAGGAGCAAGGGGGGAGGCGGCCGGCCUAGGAGGAGGGCGCGCCAAGGGGGGAGUCCUACUCCCACCGGGAGUAGGACUCCUCCUUUCCUUGUUGGAGUAGGAGAAGGGAAGGGAGAAGGAGAAGGAAGGAAGGGGGCGCCCCCCUCCCUAGUCCAAUUCGGACUAGUCCAUGGGGAGGGGUGCGGCCACCCUUUGGGGCCUUUCUCUCCUUUCCCGUAUGGCCCAUUAAGGCCCAAUACGAAUUCCCGUAACUCUCCGAUACUCCGAAAAAUGUCCGAAUCACUCGGAACCUUUCCGAUGUCCGAAUAUAGUCGUCCAAUAUAUCGAUCUUUACGUCUCGACCAUUUCGUGACUCCUCGUCAUGUCCCUGAUCUCAUCCGGGACUCCGAACUCCUUCGGUACAUCAAAACACAUAAACUCAUAAUAUAACCGUCAUCUAAUUUUAAGCGUGCGGACCCUACGGGUUUGAGAACUAUGUAGACAUGACCGAGACACGUCUCCGGUCAAUAACCAAUAGCGGAACCUGGAUGCUCAUAUUGGCUCCCACAUAUUCUACGAAGAUCUUUAUUGGUCAGACCGUAUAACAACAUACGUUGUUCCCUUUGUCAUCGGUAUGUUACUUGCCCGAGAUUCGAUCGUCGGUAUCUCAAUACCUAGUUCAAUCUCGUUACCGGCAAGUCUCUUUACUCGUUCCGUAAUACAUCAUCCCGCAACUAACUCAUUAGUUGCAAUGCUUGCAAGGCUUAAGUGAUGUGCAUUACCGAGUGGGCCCAGAGAUACCUCUCCGACAAUCGGAGUGACAAAUCCUAAUCUCGAAAUAUGCCAACCCAACAAGUACCUUCGGAGACACCUGUAGAGCACCUUUAUAAUCACCCAGUUACGUUGUGACGUUUGGUAGCACACAAAGUGUUCCUCCGGUAAACGGGAGUUGCAUAAUCUCAUAGUCAUAGGAACAUGUAUAAGUCAUGAAGAAAGCAAUAGCAGAAUACUAAACGAUCGUGUGCUAAGCUAACGGAAUGGGUCAAGUCAAUCACAUCAUUCUCCUAAUGAUAUGAUCCCGUUAAUCAAAUGACAACUCAUGUCUAUGGCUAGGAAACAUAACCAUCUUUGAUCAACGAGCUAGUCAAGUAGAGGCAUACUAGUGACACUCUGUUUGUCUAUGUAUUCACACAUGUAUCAUGUUUCCGGUUAAUACAAUUCUAGCAUGAAUAAUAAACAUUUAUCAUGAUAUAAGGAAAUAAAUAAUAACUUUAUUAUUGCCUCUAGGGCAUAUUUCCUUCAGUUGAUCACCAACGACGGUUAAAUCGUAAGAUGAAAGAGGUGGUAAGAAAAGAAAUACUAAAGCUUCUGGAGGCAGGUAUAAUUUAUCCCAUUACUGAUAGUCAGUGGGUAAGUCCUGUCCAUUGUGUCCCUAAGAAGGGAGGUAUUGUUGUUGUUCCUAAUGAUAAAAAUGAAUUGAUCCCACAAAGAAUUAUUACAGGUUAUAGAAUGGUAAUUGAUUUCCGCAAACUAAGUAAAGCUACUAAAAAGGAUCAUUACCCUUUACCCUUUAUUGAUCAAAUGCUAGAAAGAUUAUCCAAACAUACACAUUUUUGCUUUCUAGAUGGUUAUUCUGGUUUCUCUCAAAUACCUGUGUCAAAAGAGGAUCAAGAAAAGACCACUUUUACUUGCCCUUUCGGUACCUUUUCUUAUAGACGUAUGCCUUUUGGUUUAUGUAACGCACCUGCUACCUUUCAAAGAUGCAUGAUGGCUAUAUUCUCUGAUUUUUGUGAAAAGAUUGUUGAGGUUUUCAUGGAUGAUUUCUCCGUAUAUGGAACUUCUUUUGAUGAUUGCUUGAGCAACCUUGAUUGAGUUUUGCAGAGAUGUGAAGAAACUAACCUUGUUUUGAACUGGGAGAAGUGCCACUUUAUGGUUAAUGAAGGUAUUGUCUUGGGGCAUAAAAUUUCUGAAAGAGGUAUUGAAGUUGAUAAAGCUAAAGUUGAUGCUAUUGAAAAGAUGCCGUGUCCCAAGGACAUUAAAGGUAUAAGAAGUUUCCUUGGUCAUGUCGGUCUUUAUAUGAGGUUCAUUAAGGACUUACUCUAAAAUUUCUAGGCCUCUCACUAAUCUCUUACAAAAAGAUAUUCCUUUUGUCUUUGAUGAUGAUUGUGUAGAAGCAUUUGAAAUACUUAAGAAAGCAUUGAUUUCUGCACUUAUUGUUCAGCCACCUGAUUGGAAUUUACCCUUUGAAAUUAUGUGUGAUGCUAGUGAUUAUGCUGUAGGUGUUGUUCUAGGACAAAGAGUUGAUAAGAAAUUAAAUGUUAUCCAAUAUGCUAGUAAAACUCUAGACAAUGCCCAGAGAAAUUAUGCUACUACUGAAAAGGAAUUUUUAGCAGUUCUAUUUGCUUGUGAUAAGUUUAGACCUUAUAUUGUUGAUUCUAAAGUAACUGUUCACACUGAUCAUGCUGCUAUUAAAUAUCUCACGGAAAAGAAAGAUGCUAAACCUAGACUUAUUAGAUGGGUUCUCUUGCUACAAGAAUUUGAUUUACAUAUUAUUGAUAGAAAGGGAGCUGAGAACCCCGUUGCAGACAACUUGUCUAGGUUAGAGAAUGUUCUUGAUGACCCACUACCUAUUGAUGAUAGCUUUCCUGAUGAACAAUUAGCUGUCAUAAAUGCUUCUCGUACUGCUCCAUGGUAUGCUGAUUAUGCUAAUUAUAUUGUUGCUAAAUUUAUACGACCUAGUUUCACAUACCAGCAAAAGAAAAAGUUUUUCUAUGAUUUAAGACAUUACUUCUGGGAUGACCCACACCUUUAUAAAGAAGGAGUAGAUGGUGUUAUUAGACGUUGUAUACCUGAGCAUGAACAGGAACAGAUCCUACGCAAGUGUCACUCCGAAGCUUAUGGAGGACACCACGCUGGAGAUAGAACUGCACAUAAGGUAUUGCAAUCCGGUUUUUAUUGGCCUACUCUCUUCAAAGAUGCGCGUAAGUUUGUCUUGUCUUGUGACGAAUGUCAAAGAAUUGUAAUAUUAGUAGACGUCAAGAAAUGCCUAUGAAUUAUUCACUUGUUAUUGAACCAUUUGAUGUUUGGGGCCUUGAUUAUAUGGGACCGUUUCCUUCCUCUAACGGGUAUACACAUAUUUUAGUUGUUGUUGAUUACGUUACUAAGUGGGUAGACGCUAUUCCAACUAGUAGUGCUGAUCAGAACACCUCUAUUAAGAUGCUUAAAGAAGUUAUUUUUCCGAGUUUUGGAGUCCCUAGAUAUUUAAUGACUGAUGGUGGUUCACAUUUUAUUCAUGGUGCUUUCCGUAAAAUGCUUGCUAAGUAUGAUGUUAAUCAUAGAAUUGCAUCUCCAUAUCACUCACAGUCUAGUGGUCAAGUAGAACUUAGUAAUAGAGAGCUCAAAUUAAUUUUACAAAAGACUGUUAAUAGAUCUAGAAAGAAUUGGUCCAAGAAACAUGAUGAUGCAUUAUGGGCUUAUAGAACUGCAUAUAAAAAUCAUAUGGGUAUGUCUCCAUAUAAAAUGGUUUAUGGAAAAGCAUGCCACUUACCUCUCGAACUAGAACAUAAGGCAUAUUGGGCCAUUAAAGAGCUCAAUUAUGAUUUCAAACUUGCCGGUGAGAAGAGGCUAUUUGACAUUAGCUCACUUGAUGAAUGGAGAACCCAAGCCUAUGAGAAUGCCAAACUGUUUAAAGAAAAAGUUAAAAGAUGGCAUGACAAAAGGAUACAAAAGCGUGAGUUUAAUGUAGGUGAUUAUGUGUUGCUAUUCAACUCUCGUUUAAGAUUUUUUGCAGGAAAACUUCUCUCCAAAUGGGAAGGUCCUUACGUUACCGAGGAGGUCUAUCAUUCCGGUGCCAUAAAAAUCAACAACUUUGAAAGCACAAAUCCGAAGGUGGUGAACGGUCAAAGAAUCAAACAUUAUAUCGCAGGUAAUCCUAUAAAUGUUGAAACUAAUGUUAUUGAAACCGUAACCCCGGAUGAAUACAUAAGGGACACUUUCCAGAACGUUUCACACUCCGAAAAGGAAUAUGUAUGUGGUACGGUAAGUAAACCGACUCCAAAACAGUUCUAAUGGCAAUUUUUCUCCGUUUUGGAAUAUUUAAGAAAAUAGGAAAAUAAGAAGUAGUCUGAAAGGGACACGAGGCAGCCACGAGGGUGGAGGGCGCGCCCUACCCCCUGGGCGCGCCCCCUGCCUCGUGGGCACCUCGUGUGCCCUAUGGACUCCGUUUUCUUGCACGAUACUUCUUUUGGUCGGUAAAAAUUCAUUAUAAAAUCUCCCGAAGGUUUUGACAACUGUAGCACGCAAAUAUCCUCUGUUUUUGUUUCGAGCUGUUUUUCUGACAGAUCUAGAUCACCAUGACGUCUCCAAGUGCCCCCAAGGACAAGUUCUUCGAGAAGGAUAUCAAUCCCUACCUCGCGGAGGUGCUGCAACACCCUCAAACCAUUGAGAUGCGUGAUGGGUUGCUGCACAUCCGCGAUGUCGAGGGACCAAGGAGGACCGGAAGCGUGGAGACAAGACUCGAAGCAAUGGAGCAACAAGUUUUCAAGUGCCAAGGGAUGGUGGAACGCGGACUCAACGCCAACCACAUGGUGAUCGCGGAGUUCACCAACAACCACAAGCUAGAUGCCAAGAACAUUGGGGAGACCAUCUUCAAGCUUCACGAGAAAAUCGAGCGCGUCCAAGCCCAGAUCUAUGACCUGCAAAACCAAAACUGUGAGUAUGAAUAUAGAUUCAAGAGGAUGAGUUUGGCUGCAGAUUUGAGGAUUCCAGAGACUCAAUCAUCCUUCUAUGAUGGUGAGCCUAUGCCUUGGAAGAUGGAUGACAAACCUACAUCAUCAACAACUCCAUCAUCACCACCCCCGAGGAAAGAGACAUAAUCACAUUGGUAUGGGCACUCCCCUUGGCAACUGCCAAGCUUGGGGGAGGUGCCCCGGUAUCAUAUCACCAUCACACUCCUAUGUUUACCGUUUUUCUUAGUUCGAUCCCUUUAGUAAUAUCUUGACCUAGUAGAAUAAAGUUUUAGUAUGAUCUAGUUUUGAGUUUUGCUUUAUGAUCCCUCUAUGUAAUCGAGUAUGUGAGCUAUAUAUAAUAAAGAUUAGUGUUGAGUCAAGGGCUUGAUUAUCUUGCUAUGAUCGUGAGGGAAUUAAAAAGAAAAGAGAAAGAAUAAAAAGAAGUAAAGAGAUCAUAUUGAUCUUAUGGAGAGUAAUGACUUCACAUAUAAAGAGUAUGAUGAAUAAAAGUUGUUGAGAGUUGACAAACAUAGUUUUGGUCACCGUUGCAAUUAAUAGGAAGUAAUAAAGAAAGAGAGGUUCUCACAUAUAAAUAUACUAUCUUGGACAUCUUUUAUGAUUGUGAGCACUCAUUAAAAUAUGACAUGUUAAAGAGUUGAUGUUGGACAAGGAAGACAACGUAAUGGGUUAUGUUUUCUUAUACCCGAAAUAAAGUAUAUUGUCAUGGAUCAUCCAACAUGUUGAGCUUGCCUUUCUCCCUCAUGCUAGCCAAAUUCUUUGCACCAAGUAGAGAUACUACUUGUGCUUCCAAAUAUCCUUAAACCCGGUUUUGUCAUGAGAGUCCACCAUAUCUACCUAUGGAUUGAGUAAGAUCCUUCAAGUAAGUUGUCAUGUUGCAUGCAAUAAAAAUUUCUCUCUAAAUACGUAUGAUUUAUUAGUGUGGAGAAAAUAAGCUUUAUACGAUCUUGUGAUGUGGAAGCAAUAAAAGCGACGGACUGCAAAAUAAAGGUCCAUAUCACAAGUGGCAAUAUAAAGUGACGUUCUUUUGCAUUAAGAUUUCAUGCAUCCAACCAUAAAAGCACAUGACAACCUCUGCUUCCCUCUGCGAAGGGCCUAUCUUUUACUUUUGUCCUAUACCUUAUGCAAGAGUCAUGGUGAUCUUCACCUUUCCUUUUUACAUUGUAUCCUUUGGCAAGCACCUUGUGUUGGAAAGAUCCUAAUAUAUAUAUCCAAUUGGAUGUAAGUUAGCAUGAAUUAUUAUUGUUGACAUUACCCUUGAGGUAAAAGGUUGGGAGGCAACACUAUAAGCCCCUAUCUUUCUCUGUGUCCGAUUAAAACUCCAUACCCAUAAGUAUUGCCUGAGUGUUAGCAAUUCUGACAGACUAAAUGAUAGUUGAGUAUGUGGACUUGCUGAAAAGCUCUUAUAUUGACUCUUUCCGAUGUUAUGAUAAAUUGCAAUUGCUUCAAUGACCGAGAUUAUAGUUUGUUGGUUCUCAAUGAAGUUUCUGAUUCAUACUUGACAUUGUGAAUAGAUUAUUACUUGAGCAUAAGAAAUCAUAUGACAAUAUCCAUAUAUGUUGCUGUUAUAAGUAUGAUCAUGAUGCCCUCAUGUCCGUAUUUUAUUUUAUCGACACCUCUAUCUCUAAACAUGUGGACAUAUUUUUUGUUAUCGGCUUCCGCCUGAGGACAAGCGAGGUCUAAGCUUGGGGGAGUUGAUACGUCCAUUUUGCAUCAUGCUUUUAUAUCGAUGUUUAUUGCAUUAUGGGUUGUUAUUACACGUUACGUCACAAUACUUAUGCCUUUUCUCUCUUAUUUUACAAGGUUUACAUGAAGAGGGAGAAUGCCGGCAGUUGGAAUUCUGGGCUGGAAAAGGAGCAAAUAUUAAAGACCUAUUCUGCACAACUCCAAAAGUCCUGAAACUUCACGGAAAUUAUUUUUUGAAUUAAUAAAAAAUACUGAGCGAAGAAAGUACCAGAGGGGGGCCACCCACCAUCCAUGAGGGUGGGGGCGCGCGCCCUGCCUCGUGGGCCCCCUGGCAGGCCUCCGGUGCCCAUCUUCUGCUAUAUGAAGUCAUUUACCCUGGAAAAAAAUCAUAAGCAAGCUUUCGGGAAGAAACUCCGUCGCCAUGAGGCGGAACCAAUCUAGGGCUCCGGCGAAGCUGUUCUGCCGGGGAAACUUCCCUCCGGGAGGGGGAAAUCAUCGCCAUCGUCAUCACCAACGAUCCUCUCAUCGGGGAGGGGGGGUCAAUCUCCAUCAACAUCUUCACCAGCACCAUCUCCUCUAAAACCCUAGUUCAUCUCUUGUAUCCAAUCUUUGUCCCAAAGCCUCAGAUUGGUACCUAUGGGUUGCUAGUAGUGUUGAUUACUCCUUGUAGUUGAUGCUAGUUGGUUUAUUUGGUGGAAGAUCAUAUGUUCAGAUCCUUCAAUCUUUGAUAGCAUUUUACUUCAUAUAAGAGUUUGUCCAGGCUUGUCCUUUGCUACAAAAAGGACUGGGCCAUCUUGCUGCACCUUAUUUACUUUCAUUACUUGUUACCCGUUACAAAUUACCUUAUCACAAAACUAUCUGUUACCUAUAAUUUCAGUGCUUGCAGAGAAUACCUUAUUGAAAACCGCUUGUCAUUUCCUUCUGCUCCUCGUUGGGUUCGACACUCUUAUUUAUCGAAAGGACUACGAUAGAUCCCCUACACUUGUGGGUCAUCACUAACAAACUUCAUAAACUUAAAAACUACUGGGGGAGAUUGGGGGAAUGAUCCAAUGAGUUGGCUGAUCCCGCUUGCUCCAAUGUUCACAUGUCGGGCCGCCCGAUUCAUUUUGAUCGGACCAACCAAGUGAAGGCGCAGAGGAGAUGAGAAACUUCCCGUAAUGAGACGAGAAACUUCCCAAAACGCUAUCUCCUCGCUCGACCUUAUCCACUCGUUUGAUCCGUCUUCCUCGUCUCUUCUUUUUCCCAAUUCUCUCCCUACUCCGGCAACAUACAGGGCAACGCUCUCUCCUUUUCCUCCUUCGUGCUUCCAUAGAGAACUGACACCACGAAGAUGCUGCUAGCAACAAGUAGCAAGCACCAGAUGCAACAAAGGUCUUGUUGCAUGAUCCAUGGAGUGUGUAUGAAUAAACUGAUGAUGCCCCUGUCACCUACGGAACCUCAUCGGCCAGGUCCAUGGAGUGCCUGCUUCAAGGUGCAUGCGUUGUAGGCCAGGCCCCGGACGCUAUAGGCUUGUGUCGCUCAUCGCUGAUUUGUGGACGAAAUCCACGGCCUAAUGCUACAAUUGCUUUAGACGGAAUUUUUGCAGCAAAGGUCUUGUUGCAGGAAUGCAGAGAAGAGGUCGAAGAUGUUGUAAUUUUUGCAAAAGAUCUUGUUGCAGGAAUAUAGCAAAGAGAUGGUUUUUAUGCAAUAAAGGUCUUGUUGCAGGAAUAGAGAGAAGAGUUUUUUUUGCAACAAAGGUUUUGUUGUAGGAAUAAAGAGAAGAGGAUUUUUUGCAACAAAGUUCUUGUUGUAGGCAUGUAGAUGUAGAGAAGAGGCCUCAGAUGUUGCAAUUUUUGCAACAAAAGUCUUGUUUCUGAAAUACAAAGAAAAGGUCAAAGAUACUUUUGUAACAAAGAUUUUGUUGCAAUGGAGUUUUCCAACAAAGGUAUUGUUAUAGAAAAAUAGAGAAGAGGAAGACCCGAUCUUUUAAAAAGAUCAGCCGGCGGAUGCAUAGCAUGCCCCAAACCCAAAUUCUAUGGCGGCUCCUAGGGAUCAACCGGAUGAUUUCCUAGAGAAAUCAUCCGCCUAGCCAGUCGUUGAUUUGCGAGAGCAUAAUUUAAUUAGAGCCGCACGAUCCCAUGGACCACGGCAGGAUCAGACCAUCGAUCACUCCGUCCUAACAUGUUCAAUUACAACCACUAGGAAUGCUUGCUAUCUUGCACUAGCCAUGCAACAGUCGCGUCGCUGGUCAGCUCACAGUAAAAACGACGACAAGCUCGCCACUACACAACGGCCACGGCUGCAGCGCUGGCGAGCUUAGGGUUGCAGCACCGGGUUGCAGUAAUGACGCUGUUGCGAGCCCGCGACCAUCCCCAUGAAGCACCGGUCAUGCUCCGGCAGCCCGGCGAUGCUCCAUCGUAACACCGACAGCGCUCCGGGAUGCUCCAUUGCAACACCGCUGAUGCUCCGGCGGCCCGGCGAUGCUCCAUUGUAACACUGGCAGCGCUCCGGGAUGCUCCAUUGCACACCGAUGAUGCUCUGGCGGCCCGAGGAUGCUCCAUAGCAACACCGGCGAUGCUCCAUAGCAACACCGGCGAUGCUCCAUAGCAACACUGGCGAUGCUCUGGGAUACGCCAUAGCAACACUAACGAUGCCUUGAAGCUCCGCUGCCGCGCGCGCAACACCAUGCGUGUUGUGUUGUCAGCUUCCGCCGCCGGCGAGAUACGUGGUCGCAGCACCUCCCAUGGCAGCGGCCGGCGGUGCUUCAUUGCAACCCUCGUCGGAGCUUCAACAACCUCCGGCGCUUCACUGCAGCCCCGACGGCGCUUCAUUGCUGUUCUGACGCCUGCACGCGGUUUCCACUCCAGCAUCUAGUGAAUGUUAACAAGAAUUUUCUUUAGAUAACAACAUCAGUGGCUAUAAUUUGAAUAUCUGAAAUGUGUAGAUGUGAAAGGUGUGUUCAACUCAUUGUUGAACUUCUAUUAAAAAAACUCAGUCUGAAACUAGAGUGGAAACUAUUUUGCUUCCAGAGAGAAGUAAUAACUCUAGAGUAAGAAAUCAAGGUUGCAAGAACAGAACUCCUACUUAAAAUGAGGACUCCUUUUGUUCAGCCAAUACUUCUUAGUCUGAAUUCCAAAAUUGGAUGCACUUUUGACACGAUAUCAAAGAAAACACAACAGGCAUGUAAACCCAAGAAGCAUUUCUAGGCACUGAUGAUGCAAGUAUAAGUAUAGGCCACUAACCUCAGAAUUCAAGGAACCAAGAUUGAUGUCAGAAGCAAUGGCACGCCGCUGCCAUGUAUCCCUGGAAGUCUGCAUCUCUUGCAUCUCUAGCCUGACCUGCUCCAGCAUGUCCUGCAUCCUAGUCCAUUGCUCCGAUUCUGGUAUCACUUGCUUCAUUAUCUUCCCCACAAUCUCCUUGCAGCCGCAGCAGCUUCCAGAGCGCACCAACUUGCAGUCUUGAGCCACAAUCUGCAAGGAGAAAGAUUUUAGCAGGACAUAAUUUAACUUUAACUCAAAUUUUCUUUCAGUGCGCGUGCUCAAAGCAUGCUUGUAAUGUAACAUAUUUGGGUCAUAAAAAGGAAUACUGUGGUGCUCCAUAGCAGCACCUCAACGGCCGCCGACUACCUGUUGCCGGAGAUGCUCGCCGGAGCAUCUCUCCCUCCCUCCCUCCCUCUCUCUCUCUCUCUCUCUUGAAAGUCUGAAUGUUUCUGAAACUACUGAAACUUCUGAAGAAAACUAACACCUACAAAAUGGCUGCCGUGCCAGUGUUAUUGUGCGCAACUGAAAUACCCAACAGCGCGACCACCGAGCGGCGGUGCUCCAUCGCAGCACCGGCUACCCCUGUCGAAGCUCCACCGCGGCAUCCCAUGUCGUCGGCGAAGCUUCACUGCAACAUAGGGCGGCAUCGACGGGGGCUGCGAUGAAGCACGCGAUGGCGACGACGGAUACUACGACACAGCACGGCGGUGUACGGAGAUGCUGCAACACAGCAAGUGGUGGUGACGGUGGACCUUGCAGUGGCGCCUUAUCUUGCAGUAUCAUCGCGUCUUACAGCCACAGUAGGUCGGGCCUUGCAGUCCCGUAGCGGAGAGUGAAUGGAGAGUAGGAAAGGGGAAUCGAAGGAAGAAGACAGAGAGAGGAUAAGGUGGACGGGGCGGUGAGUGGAUCCCAUGUUAAAUGCGUCACGCGAGAGACACGCCAGGGAGAGACGAGCGCCACACGAUCCAGCUGGAUCGGAUGACUCGCGGAGCGGUUGAUACCAGGGAGAAAUCGGUCGGUUUAAAACAGCGGAAACACUAACGCCCACACGUGUGGGCGUUUGCAUCUCGCCCACACGCGUGGAUCCAUGUCUGUUUGUGGUUGCACGAAUCUUGCAUGUUUGUGGUGCCACAUAGGACUGGGUUGGUGUCUGGGCAUUCAUCCGGUCGCCCACUGAUAACCCACAAGUAUAGGGGAUCGCAACAGUUUUCGAGGGUAGAGUAUUCAACCCAAAUUUAUUGAUUUGACACAAGGGGAGCCAAAGAAUAUUCUCAAGUAUUAGCAGUUGAGUUGUCAAUUCAACCACACCUGGAUAACUUAGUAUCUGCAGCAAAGUAUUUAGUAGCAAAGUAAUAUGGAAGUAACGGUAACGGUAGCAAAAGUAAUAUUUUUGGGUUUUGUAGUGAUUGUAACAGUAGCAACGGAAAAGUAAAUAAGCGAAGAACAAUAUGUGAAAAGCUCGUAGGCAUUGGAUCGGUGAUGAAGAAUUAUGCCGGAUGUGGUUCAUCAUGUAACAGUCAUAACAUAGGGUGACACAGAACUAGCUCCAAUUCAUCAAUGUAAUGUACGCAUGUAUUCCGAAUAUAGUCAUACGUACUUAUGGAAAAGAACUUGCAUGACAUCUUUUGUCCUACCCUCCCGUGGCAGCGGGGUCCUAAUGGAAACUAAGGGAUAUUAAGGCCUCCUUUAAUAGAGUAUCGGACCAAAGCAUUAACACAUAGUGAAUACAUGGACUCCUCAAACUAUGGUCAUCACCGGGAGUGGUCCCGAUUAUUGUCACUUCGGGGUUGCCGGAUCAUAACACAUAGUAGGUGACUAUAGACUUGCAAGAUAGGAUCAAGAACUCACAUAUAUUCAUGAAAACAUAAUAGGUUCAGAUCUGAAAUCAUGGCACUCGGGCCCUAGUGACAAGCAUUAAGCAUAGCAAAGUCAUAGCAACAUCAAUCUCAGAACAUAGUGGAUACUAGGGAUCAAACACUAACAAAACUAACUCGAUUACAUGAUAAAUCUCAUCCAACCCAUCACCGUCCAGCAAGCCUACGAUGGAAUUACUCACGCACGGCGGUGAGCAUCAUGAAAUUGGUGAUGGAGGAUGGUUGAUGAUGACGAUGGCGACGGAUUCCCCUCUCCGGAGCCCCGAACGGACUCCAGAUCAGCCCUCCCGAGAGGUUUUAGGGCUUGGCGGCGGCUCCGUAUCGUAAAACGCGAUGAAUCCUUCUCUCUGAUUUUUUUCUCCCCGAACACGAAUAUAUGGAGUUGGAGUUGAGGUCGCUGGAGCGUCAGGGGGCCCACGAGGCAGGGGGCGCGCCCAGGGGGGCAGGCGCCUCCCACCCUCGUGGACAGGGUGUGGGCCCCCUGACGUGGAUUCUUCUUCCAGUAUUUUUAAUAUUUUCCAAAAAUAUGUUCCGUGGAGUUUCGGGUCAUUCCGAGAACUUUUUUUUCUGCACAUAAAUAACACCAUGGAAAGUCUGCUGAAAACAGCGUCAGUCCGGGUUAGUUCCAUUCAAAUCAUGCAAGUUAGAGUCCAAAACAAGGACAGAAGUGUUUGGAAAAGUAGAUACGACGGAGACGUAUCAACUCCCCCAAGCUUAAACCUUUGCUUGUCCUCAAGCAAUUCAGUUGAUAAACUGAAAGUGAUAAAGAAAAACUUUUACAAACUCUGUUUGCUCUUGUUGUUGUAAAUAUGUAAAGCCAGCAUUCAAGUUUUCAGCAAAGAUUAUGACUAACCACAUAUACAAUAACUCUUAGGUCUCAUGUUUACUCAUAUCAAUGGCAUAAUCAACUAGCGAGCAAUAAUAAUAAAUCUCGGAUGACAACACUUUCUCAAAACAAUCAUCAUAUGAUAUAACAAGAUGGUAUCUCGCUAGCCCUUUCUGAGACCGCAAAACAUAAAUGCAGAGCACCUUUAAAGAUCAAGGACUGACUAGACACUGUAAUUCAUGGUAUAAGAGAUCCAGUCAUAGUCAUACCCAAUAUAAAUUAAUAGUAAUGAAUGCAAAUGACAGCAGCGCUCUCCAGCUAGUGCUUUUAAUAAGAGGGUGAUGACUCAACAUAAAAGUAAAUAGAUAGGACCUUCGCAGAGGGAAGCAGGGAUUUGUAGAGGUGCCAAAGCUCGAUUUUAAAGCAGAGAUAAAUAAUAUUUUUGAGCGGCAUACUUUCAUUGUCAACAUAACAACCGAGAGAUGGCGAUAUCUUCCAUGCUACACACAUUAUAGGCGGUUCCCAAACAGAAUGGUAAAGUUUAUACUCCCCCCUCCACCAACAAGCAUCAAUCCAUGGCUUGCUCGAAACAACGAGUGCCUCCAACUAGCAACAGUCCUAGGGGGAGUUUUGUUUGCAAUUAUUUUGAUUUAGUUUGCAUAAAGCAUGGGACUGGGCAUCCCGGUGACCAGCCAUUUUCUCGUGAGUGAGGAGCGGGGUCCACUCCUCUUGAGAAUAACCCGCCUAGCAUGGAAGAUACAGACAACCCUAGUUGAUACAUGAGCUAUUCGAGCAUACAAAACAGAAUGUUUAUUUGAAGGUUUAGAGUUUGGCACAUACAAAUUUACUUGGAACGGCAGGUAGAUACCGCAUAUAGGAAGGUAUAGUGGAAUCAUAUGGAAUAACUUUGGGGUUUAAGGGGUUGGAUGCACAAGCAGUAUUCCCGCUUAGUACAAGUGAAGGCUAGAAAAAGACUGGGAAGCGACCAACUAGAGAGCGACAACAGUCAUGAACAUGCAUUAAAAUUAAUAAACAUUGAGUGCAAGCAUGAGUAGGAUAUGAUCCACCAUGAACAUAAAUAUCGUGAAGGCUAUGUUGAUUUGUUUCAACUACAUGUGUGAACAUGUGCCAAGUCGAGUCACUUAAAUCAUUCAAAGGAGGAUACCACCCCAUCAUACCACAUCACAACAAUUUUAAUAGCAUGUUGGCACGCAAGGUAAACCAUUAUAACUCAUAGCUAAUCAAGCAUGGCAUAAGCAAUGAUCUCUAAUUGUCAUUGCAAACAUGUUUAUUCAUAAUAGGCUGGAUCAGGAACGAUGAACUAAUCAUAUUUACAAAAACAAGAGAGGUCGAGUUCAUACCAGCUUCUCUCAUCUCAGUCAGUCCAUCAUAUAUCAUCAUAAUUGCCUUUCACUUGCACGACCGAACGAUGUGAAAAUAAUAAAAGUGCACGUGCAUUGGACUAAGCUGGAAUCCGCGAGCAUUCAAUAAACAGGAGAAGACAAGGCAAUAUGGACUCUUGGUUAAAUCAACAAUAAUGCAUAUAAGAGCCACUUUAAAAAUUUAAUUAUGGUCUUCUCCUAUCGACCCCCAAAGAAAAGAAAUAAAACUAUUUACACGGGAAAGCUCCCAACAAGCAAAAGAAGAACGGGAAAUCUUUUUGGGUUUUCUUUUUAAUUAUUACUACUACAACAAGAAAGUAAACUAGCUAAAAGCUACACUAAUUUUUUGGUUUUUUCUUAAGGUUUAUUAAACACACAAGAAGAAAGCAAGGAAAAGGAAAAUAAACUAGCAUGCAUAUUACAGUGAAAGAGUAUGAGCACCGACAACUAGCAAUGAGUGUGUGAACAUAAAUGUAAUGUCGGUGAGAAAUACGUACUCCCCCAAGCUUAGGCUUUUGGCCUAAGUUGGUUUAUUGCCACGGCUGGCCUGGCGGAUAUCCAUAAUUGUAGUCGGGGUCGUACUGAGAUGAAGAAGACUCUGAUUGCCACUGGUUGGCAAUCAUCUCUGGAUCCCACUGGUAAUUAGACUGUCGUGGAGGUUCAAAUUGUGGUUCCGGCUCCGGCUCUAUGGCUGAUGUAGGGUUCCGGUAGGCGUGAAUGGCCGCCAGCGGAACGAGAUACGGACCUGCAGACAAAUCAAACAAGGAAGGAGCAGGCAAGGUAAUAGUCUCAGGGUGAUGUUUAUCAAAGAACAAUUUGUAUUUAAGCGCCCCUUCCCUAUUCUUAACAAUAAAGUCAUGUGCUACCAUACUCUUAUAAUCUAAAUAAGCAGUGGGCAGCAAUUUUUCUUCUUUUUCAUAGUGCCUAAUAGGUAUGUUAUAGUGUGCAGCAAGGCGUGAAGCAUAAAUACCUCCAAAGAUGGGGCCCUUUGUACGGUUCAGACUUAACGUUUGGAAAUAAUACCGCCCAUACUAACAGUGUUAUCACAGAAUAAACCAUGGAACAGAAUAAUAAUAUCAGGAACACUAAGGUUUCCACAGUUUCCGCGACCAAUUAAGCAACGACUAGCAAAUAUGGCAAAGUAGCGUAAGACAGGAAAAUGUAUGCUAGUGAUUCUUGCAUCGGAAACCUUCCUAGUUUCCCCUACAGUAAUAGUGUCAAUAAACCCAUCCACAUCUUUACGAUGUGGUUCAUCUAAACUACCCUCAAAAGGUAUUUUGCAAACCUUGCAAAAUUCAUCUAGUGAUAUCUUCUUAACCACAUCAUAUAAAUGAAACUCUACUGAAGGAGGUGAUUCCUUAGGGUAAUAGUAGAAGUUUUGCACAAAAGUAUUGGUGAGUAAGAGAUACUGUUCACGUUGGUCGCGGAGGAAGUCGGUGAGGCCUGCAUUCUCAACCAAUUCAUAGAAAUCAUCAUAAAUCCCGGCUGCUCUCAAGAAAUCAUUGGAAGGCCAUUCACACGGCCGGACCUCCGCGGUGCGAGGCAAAUUAUAUUUGGGCCUCUGUGCUUCUUCACUUUGCUUUUCCUUCGAGCUUCGGCUCGAUGAGCCCCUCAAAAAUCUCUUCAUUAUUUUCUGAAAAAUUCUGAAAUUUUUAGUAACUUCAAAUAAAAGUGAACCAAGCUCAACAAAAUUGAUAGCAACUACUCCUACAAGUGCCUAGAGACUAUAUCAAGCAUUAUAACUACUUGGAACCAUAUAAAUUUGACAUGCAAGCUCAAGAACAUGGUCACCUAGGCAGCACAAAUUUGCAAUGAAUAAAGCACUAGAACAAAAACUAAUUGGACCAAUGGAGGAGUCACAUACCAAGGAACAAUCUCCCCAAGCAGUUUUGUGAGAGGUGCUUUGAGCAAGGAGAUCGAAAAUCGCAGCAAAAUGAGCUAGAACUCGUGCUUGAGCUGGAUGGUGAUUUUUUGGGAGGAAGAAGAAGUGUGUGGGUGCAGGAAUAAGUGGAGGGGAGCCACCGUGGGCCCACGAGGCAGGGGGCGCGCCCUGUAGGGGUGGGCGCGCCCUGGACCCUCGUGGGUAGGUGCUUGCUCCCCCUGCUGUGUUCUCAGUGCCAGAUAUUCUCAAAUAUUCCAGAAAAAAUCAUAUUCCAUUUUCAGGGCAUUUGGAGAACUUUUAUUUUUGGGGUAUUUUUAUAUUGCACGGAUAAUUCAGAAAACAGAUAGGAAAAUACUAUUUUUACUUUAUUUCAACUAAAUAACAGAAAAUAGAGAGAGGGUAUAAAAGGUUGUGCCUUCUAGUUUCAUCCAUCUCAUGCUCAUCGAAAGGAAUCCACUAACAAGGUUGAUCAAGUCUUGUUAACAAACUCAUUCCGAAUAACAUGGAACCGGAGAAAUUUUGAAUAACACUAUGUUACCUCAACGGGGAUAUGCACAUCCCCUAUAAUAAGAAUAUCAUAUUUCUUCUUGACAGUAGGAAGAGGAAAUUCAAAACCUCCAAAAAUAAUCGAUGGAAUUUUUCCAAUAGAAUUGAUACUAUGAACUUGAGGUUGUUUCCUCGGAAAGUGUACCGUAUGCUCAUUACCAUUAACAUGAAAAGUGACAUUGGCUUUGUUGCAAUCAAUAACAGCCCCUGCAGUAUUCAAAAAAGGUCUUCCAAGAAUAAUAGACAUAUUAUCGUCCUCGGGAAUGUCAAGAAUAACAAAGUUCGUUAAAAUGGUAACGUUUGCAACUACAACAGGCACAUCCUCACAAAUACCGACAGGUAUAGCAGUUGAUUUAUCAGCCAUUUGCAAAGAUAUUUCAGUAGGUGUCAACUUAUUCAAAUCAAGUCUACGAUAUAAAGAGAGAGGCAUAACACUAACACCGGCUCUAAGAUCACAUAAAGCAGUUUUAACAUAGUUUCUUUAAUGGAGCAUGGUAUAGUUGGUACUCCUGGAUCUCCAAGUUUCUUAGGUAUUCCACCCUUAAAAGUAUAAUUAGCAAGCAUGGUGGAAAUUUCAGCUUCCGGUAUCUUUCUUUUAUUUGUAACAAUAUCUUUCAUGUACUUAGCAUAAGGAUUCAUUUUGAGCAUAUCAGUUAAUCGCAUACGCAAAAAGAUAGGUCUAAUCAUUUCAGCAAAGCGCUCAAAAUCCUCAUCAUCCUUUUUCUUGGAUGGUUUGGGAGGAAAAGGCAUGGGUUUCUGAACCCAUGGUUCUCUUUCUUUACCGUGCUUCCUAGCAACAAAGUCUUUCUUAUCAUAACGUUGACUCUCUGAUUGUGGGUUAUCAAGAUCAACAGCAGGUUCAAUUUCUACAUCAUUAUCAUUGCUAGGUUGAGCAUCAUCAUGAACAUCAUCAUUAACAUUAUCGCUAGGUUCAUGUUCAUUACCUGAUUGUGUUUCAGCAUCAGAAAUAGAAAUAUCAUUUGGAUUCUCAGGUGGUUCAGCAAUAGGUUCACUAGAAGCAUGCAAAGUCCUAUCAUUUUUCUUUUUCUUCCUUUUAGAAGGACCAGGUGCAUCUAAAUUAUUUCUCUAAGAAUCCUGCUCAAUUCUCUUAGGAUGGCCUUCAGGAUACAAAGGUUCCUGAGUCAUUUUACCAGUUCUAGUAGCCACUCUAACAGCAUAAUCAUUAUUCUUACUAUUUAAUUCAUUGAGAUCAUUUUGAGCUUUAAGUACUUGUUCUACUUGAGUGGUGACCAUAGAAGCAUGUUUACUAAUGAGUUUAAGUUCACCUUUAACUCUAGACAUAUAAUCACACAAGUGUUCAAUCAUAUAAGCAUUUUGUUUUAAUUGUCUACCAAAAUAAUCAUUAAAAUCUUCUUGCUUAACCAUAAAGUUAUCAAACUCAUCCAAACAUUGACUAGCAAACUUAGUAGGAGGGAUUUCAGCUUUAUCAUAUCUAUAGAGAGAAUUUACCUUUACUACCUGUGUCGGGUUAUCAAGACCAUGUGUUUCUUCAAUAGGUGAUGGAUUAAGAUCAUAUGUUUCUUCAACAGGCGGUAAAUUAAGACCAUGUAUUUCUUCAAUAGGAGGUAAGUUCUUAACAUCUUCAGCUUUAAUACCUUUUUCUUUCAUAGAUUUCUUUGCCUCUUGCAUAUCUUCAGGACUGAGAAAUAGAACACCUCUCUUCUUCGAAGUUGGUUUAGGAAUAGGCUCAGGAGUUGGCUCAGGAAGUGUCCAAUUAUUUUCAUUGGUCAACAUAUUAUUCACUAGAAUUUCAGCUUCAUCCGGUGUUCUUUCCCUGAAAACAGAACCAGCACAACUAUCCAGGUAAUCUAUGGAAGCAUCGGUUAGUCCAUUAUAAAAGAUAUCAAGUAUUUCAUUUUUCUUAAGAGGAUGAUCGGGCAAUGCAUUAAGUAAUUGGAGAAGCCUCCCCCAAGCUUGUGGGAGACUCUCUUCUUCAAUUUGCACAAAAUUAUAUAUAUCCCUUAAAGCAGCUUGUUUCUUAUGAGCAGGGAAAUAUUUAGCAGAGAAGUAAUAAAUCAUAUCCUAGGGACUACGCACACAACCAGGAUCAAGAGAAUUAAACCAUAUCUUAGCAUCACCCUUUAAUGAGAACGGAAAUAUUUUAAGGAUAUAAAGGUAGCGAGAUUUCUCAUCAUUAGUGAACAGGGUGGCUAUAUCAUUUAAUUUAGUAAGAUGUGCCACAACAGUUUCAGAUUCAUAGCCAUAAAAAGGAUCAGAUUCAACCAAAGUAAUUAUAUCAGGAUCAACAGAGAAUUCAUAAUCCUUAUCAGUAACACAGAUAGGUGAAGUAGCAAAAGCAGGGUCAGGUUUCAUUCUAGCGGUAAGAGAUUGUUGCUUCCAUUUAGCUAAUAAUUUCUUAAGAUCACUUCUAUCAUUGCAAGCAAGGAUAGCUCUAGCAGAUUCUUCAUCCAAAACAUAACCCUCAGGCACAACAGGCAAUUCAUAUUUAUUAGGGGGAGAGUCUUCAUCAUCACUAUCUUCAAUAUUAUCAGUUUCAAUAAUUUCAUUCUCUCUAGCCCUAGCAAGUUGUUCAUCAAGAAAUUCACCAAGUGGCACAGUAGUAUCAAGCAUAGAAGUAGUUUCAUCAUAAGUAUCAUGCAUAGCAGAAGUGGAAUCAUCAAUAACAUGCGACAUAUCAGAAUGAAUAGCAGAAGCAGGUUUAGGUGUCGCAAGCCUACUCAAAACAGAAGGUGAAUCAAGUGGAGAGCUAGAUGGCAGUUCCUUACCUCCCCUCGUAGUUGAGGGAUAAAUUUUUGUUUUCUCGUCUUUCAAGUUCUUCAUAGUGAACAGCAGAUAUAAAUCCCAAGUGACUCAAAGAAUAGAGCUAUGCUCCCCGGCAACGGUGCCAGAAAAUAGUCUUGAUAACCCACAAGUAUAGGGGAUCGCAACAGUUUUCGAGGGUAGAGUAUUCAACCCAAAUUUAUUGAUUCGACACAAGGGGAGCCAAAGAAUAUUCUCAAGUAUUAGCAGUUGAGUUGUCAAUUCAACCACACCUGAAUAACAUAGUAUCUGCAGCAAAGUAUUUAGUAGCAAAGUAAUAUGGAAGUAACGGUAAUGGUAGCAAAAGUAAUAUUUUUGGGUUUUGUAGUGAUUGUAACAGUAGCAACCGAAAAGUAAAUAAGCGAAGAACAAUAUGUGAAAAGCUCGUAGGCAUGGGAUCGGUGAUGGAGAAUUAUGCCGGAUGUGGUUCAUCAUGUAACAGUCAUAACAUAGGGUGACACGGAACUAGCUCCAAUUCAUCAAUGUAAUGUAGGCAUGUAUUCCGAAUAUAGUCAUACGUUCUUAUGGAAAAGAACUUGCAUGACAUCUUUUGUCCUACCCUCCCGUGGCAGAGGGGUCCUAAUGGAAACUAAGGGAUAUUAAGGCCUCAUUUUAAUAGAGUACCGGAGCAAAGCAUUAACACAUAGUGAAUACAUGGACUCCUCAAACUAUGGUCAUCACCGGGAGUGGUCCCGAUUAUUGUCACUUCGGGGUUGCUGGAUCAUAACACAUAGUAGGUGACUAUAGACUUGCAAGAUAGGAUCAAGAACUCACAUAUAUUCAUGAAAACAUAAUAGGUUCAGAUCUGAAAUCAUGGCACUCGGGCCCUAGUGACAAGCAUUAAGCAUAGCAAAGUCAUAGCAACAUCAAUCUCAAAACAUAAUGGAUACUAGGGAUCAAACCCUAACAAAACUAACUCGAUUACAUGAUAAAUCUCAUCCAACCCAUCACCGUCCAGCAAGCCUACGAUGGAAUUACUCACGCAUGGCGGUGAGCAUCAUGAAAUUGGUGAUGGAGGAUGGUUGAUGAUGACGAUGGCGACGGAUUCCCCUCUCCGGAGCCCCGAACGGACUCCAGAUCAGCCCUCCCGAGAGGUUUUAGGGCUUGGCGGCGGCUCCGUAUCGUAAAACGCGAUGAAUCCUUCUCUCUGUUUUUUUUCUCCUCGAACACAAAUAUAUGGAGUUGGAGUUGAGGUCGGUGGAGCGUCAGGGGGCCCAUGAGGCAGGGGGCGCGCCCCCACCCUCGUGGACAGGGUGUGGGCCCCCUGACGUGGAUUCUUCUUCCAGUAUUUUUAAUAUUUUCCAAAAAUAUGUUCCAUGGAGUUUCGGGUCAUUCCGAGAACUUUUGUUUCUGCACAUAAAUAACACCAUGGAAAGUCUGCUGAAAACAGCGUCAGUCCGGGUUAGUUCCAUUCAAAUCAUGCAAGUUAGAGUCCAAAACAAGGGCAAAAGUGUUUGAAAAAGUAGAUAUGACGGAGACGUAUCACCCACACGUCCGUUUUCAUCACACGGAGGGACCGGUGUAUGGGCGUUUAGCAGUUCGCCCACACAUCAAUUUUCACUCACGCACGAGGGCUGAUGUGUGGGCAUUUAUCAGUUCGCCCACACGCUCGUCUGCUCUCCCACACCCAAAGCUGCCAGUUGCCAUGUGUUUUUGCAAGGUACAUGGCAACUGCCCUAGUGUGCUUGUAACCAGAUGGCAACUCUCUCUUUUAUCCGAACAUAUUAGUUGCCAUGUGUUUUGCAGGGUACAUGGCAACUGCCCUAGUGUGCUUGUAAGCAGAUGGCAACUCUCUCUUUACCCGAACAUGUUAUUUUGCCAUGUCUCUUUGUGGCACUACACGACAACUGCCUAGUGUUAGUAGGUGGCAACUCUUAAACUUUUCAAAUCAUGACAACUGUAGUAAACAGACCAUACAUGGCGACUUCCUAGUGUUAGUAGAUGGCAGCCCCUGAAGUUUUCAAAUCAUGGCAACUAUAGUAAACCAAACCAUACAUGGCAACAAUUGCGGCUGUCCAAAAAUGGCAUCUGGCACUUGACCUGAGAUGGCAACUGCAGUUGAGCAACCAUGGCAACUGUAGUUGUCCGACAUGGCACUGUAGUUAAGCAACAUGGCAACUACAGUUAAACGAACAUGAAAGAGGGUUCGGACCAUGGCAACUGCGGGGCGCGUGGUGACUGUCACGCGGGGCGUGCGGGACCAUGAGGUAGGAGGCCUGACGUAUGGGAGUGUGGGCGUUAUCUAUUUUACCCACACGUAGGCAUAUGAGAGGGACCGCGAGAAAAAAAAAAGGCAUGUGGUCAUUACUUAUUUUGCCCACACGUAGACGUGUGAGCUGAUCCUCUUAAACACCACACAAAAUGUAUGGGCAGACCCUCUAGAUGGCACACGCGUGGCAGUUAUCAUCGUCCUAAAACAAACCUUUUCCAAAUUCUAUAGCAAUCGGCUAUUUGCCCCCCUUCCAGACCUACCCUCAGCCGUCGGAUACCAAUCAAAUGGUUAAGCUUCAGAGCUCUCCAUUUUUCGUGGUACAAAAACUCCCCUCCGCGGCCGAACUCAAAACGGAAUGGCACCGCCGCCUCGCCUCCUCCCUCUCCUCCUCGGUCGCCUCCUCGUCUCCGGCGACCUCCUCCGCAACACCGCCCACCUCCGCCGCAUCGUGCCCCUCCUCCCUUCCCACCCCCACCUCGCCGCCUCCCUCUCCAGCCUCUACUUCCCGCUCUUCCCCUCCUCAUGCAUCUUCCUCCACAACCUGCUCAUCCGAGCCUCCGCAACCUCCCCGUCUCCUCGCAUCGCCUUCGCCGCCUUCUCCUCCAUUCUCCGCUCUGGCGAUGCUCCCGACCGAUUCACCUUCCCUUCCCUCCUCAAGUCGGCGUCCAGGCUCGCCUCUUUCCCGCGCACGGGCGCGCAGGUGCACGCGCAGGCCGUCCGGCGCGGCUUCUUGAUCGACGUCUUUGUCGUCAAUGCGCUCCUCGCGAUGUACGCCGCCUUCCGGGACACGGCAUCCAUGCGGGAGGUGUUCGAUUCGUGCGCAGGGGUCACCGACGUGGUGUCUUGGAACACGGUGCUCGGUGGCUAUGUGAAGUGCGGGGACAUCAGGAACGCCCAGAUGGUGUUCGAGGAAAUGCCACAGAGGAAUGGGGUGUCCUGGAGCGCGAUGGUUGGGGCAUACGCCGGUUCUGGCGAGUUGGAUGUGGCCAGGGAAAUGUUCGAUGAGAUGCCGGCCAUUGGGAGGAACAUUGUGACAUGGAACUCGAUGAUAACAGGAUUCGCGCGGCAUGGGCUACUGCCACUGGCUAGGAAGAUGUUCGAUGAGAUGCCGGUACGGAAUCUGGUAUCGUGGAACACAAUGAUCCGGGGGUAUGCAGUGAACGGUGAGAUGGAUGGUGCACGGAAGCUGUUUGAUGUGAUGCCGGAGAAAGACGUGGUUUCCUGGACGUGCAUGAUUUCUGGGUAUGCACAGGCUGGACGCUACGCAGAAACCCUUGAGCUGUUUAGGGAAAUGCAGAGCGAGAGCAGUGCCCGUCCUAAUGAGGUGACCAUGGUGAGCGUGCUUUCAGCAUGUGCACAUUUAACAGCUCUGGAAGAAGGGAGGUGGGCUCACACUUACAUUGACAAGCACAAGAUGGUGCUCGACAAUGAGUUCAAUCUCGGUGCUGCCCUCAUUGACAUGUAUGCCAAGUGUGGGAAAACCGACAUGGCUGUCAAAAUCUUCUACUCGUUGGACCAGAAGAAUGUCUCCGCCUGGAAUGCACUCAUCACUGGGUUGGCAGUGAAUGGUGAUGUUCAGGAUUGCAUCGGUGUGUUUGAGCAGAUGAAGAGGUCAGGAGAGAAACCGAAUGACAUAACGUUCGUUGGUGUGCUGACUGCUUGUGCCCACAGCGGGCUGGUGGAUGAGGGUCGACGGUGCUUUCAGAGCAUGUCAUCUACUUGCAGAGUGCAGCCAGAGGCAAAGCAUUAUGGCUGCAUGGUUGACAUGUUAGGCCGAGCAGGGCUUCUUGAAGAGGCAGAGGAGCUGAUAAGGACCAUGUCGAUGGCCCCAGAUGUCAUGGUUUUGGGAGCACUACUAGGUGCCUGUCGAAUGCACAAGAGAUUUGAUGUGGCUGAAAGAGUCCAGAGUGAAAUUAUUGGUCUCAACACACGGCAGGCUGGCUGCCAUGUCUUGAUAUCAGACGUUUAUGCUGCUGCUGGCAAAUGGGGAGAGGCUUUAGAUGCAAGGCGUGUUCUUCAGAAGUGCACAAUCAGGAAAUUGCCAGGAUCAUCCAGCUCGAUGCGAUAGGUUUGAAUUUAUUGCAAAAGCCUAAGCCAUCGCAUAUAGGGCUGCAUUCUCUAGCAUUAAAUGGUGUCCUUUCUAUUGGUAUUGGGAUUAGACCAUUAUAAAUUUCUGUUAAAAGUGUUCAGCUGCCCUGUGUGCUUCAUAUCUGAAUUUGAGAUGAAACAGACCACAUGCUUGUCCCUUCUUGCUGAUAACCGUUUCUCUGUUUUGGAGUAUUGGUCAUCCGUAAUUCUUGUAGAAUAGGAAUUGAACUUACCAAAUUUCACUGAUGGGAUUCGCUUCUCAAAAUUUGGUUGUAUCAUCUUCGCAAUCUGUACAAUAACAUUUCCAAAUUUCAGCUGGUGUUAAUGUGACUAUGAUCUGGUUCUUUUCGAUUCUGCUGAAUUCUAAGCAAAAAAGAGUGAGUAACCCUGGCUGACGCCAGAAGAAAUAGUAAGGCUGCAAACACAAAUGUCAUGUACUCCCUCCGUUCCUAAAUAUAAGUCUUUUUAGAGAUUUCAAUAUUGACUACAUACGGAUGUAUAUAGACAUAGUUUAGAGUGUUGAUUACUCCUUUUUUUUCGUAUGUAGUCCAUAUUGAAAUCUCCAAAAAGACUUAUAUUUAGGAACGGAGGAAGUAUCUUUUUUGCUAUGGUUAGUUGGAGGAUCAUGCCAAGACGUCUUAGUAAUAAUAUACGCAAGCACAUAUAUAUACUCAUGUGGAAGUCUGAGGGAAAACAUUGAUUUUUUUCCUAAAAAUAUGAUUCUAUAACUACUUUGAGGGGAGAUGGACUUUGGAAUACUGGCCACGAAAUAUAUUUGAGAGAAUACAGGACGUAUUCAUUCAGAAUUGUACUUUCCAACUGAGAAAUCCCUGCAACGUUCAACAGCAUGUAGCCGUAUUCUUUUAACUGUAUAAACUGCAGAUUCUUCUUGUAUUUCUUCUAGCAGAACUCCCAUUCUUCUAGCGGUAUAUCUAGGACUACAAAUUUUCCGAGAAUAUUUAGGACUAAUGCCAACAGACGCCAUCUUAAAAUGAUUUCAACCUUCUCAAGGAAUACAAGGCAUCAAUAGAAGUAUGAUAAAAGUGUGAGGCGUUGUCGUUUUAAGGUACUGCGAGUUAUACAGUACUAAACUGGUUUUUCAUUGUUCAGAUCUUCAGAGUCAAAGUGGAGUCUGUCAAAUAAGGGCACAUGGAGCCAGUGCUGAACACCGCCAAGAGCUAUAUCAAAAAAGGAGUCAAAGUGGAGUCCUCCCUGUCAGCAGAAACAACAACAGGAAUUGGCAUAUUCAUUCAACUUGAAAAAGAACAGCGACAGCAAGGCAAUUCAAUUAUUCAUUCAGGCUCCCCCUUCCAGGCUACCAGCCUAGGGAGUGCAUUUUUAGAAGAGCAAGUUUUCUCUUUGAUGUUCACCAAAACAUAUCAGUGACCUGGUGAACCCGCAUUUACCAGUUGCUUCCUUUGAUGUUCAGGCUCGUUUCUCAGAUUGUAACGAUGACUCAAAAGUUGGCGUGUAGCUCAAUUGAUCACUCAUGGAGCUAGGGAUUCUUAAAAUAAAGCUCAGGCGCCACCAAACAUGGCUUUAGAUGCAAGGCAUGUUCUUCAGAAGUGCGCAAUCAGGAAAUUGCCGGGGUUAUCCAGCUCGAUGUGGGUUUGAAUUUAUGGGGUUUGAAUUUAAAUGGUGUGCUUGGAUCAUUAGAAUUCAACUGCUCUGUGCUUCGUAUCUGAAUUUGACAUUUUCAGUUGAUUUUUAAUGUGAAAAUUAGAGGCUGCAAGCACAAAUGUCAAGUCUUUACAGAUUGAGUAUCUUUUAUGCUGAGGAUCACGCCAAGACGUCCGAGGAAUAUACGCACAUACUCAAAGCUGAAAGAGUUAUUUGUAAUCAUUCAAGAACAAGUCAGCACCAAACUCGAGAAAAACUUCACCGAGAAAUACAGGAAUUCGCAAUAAAAAGCCAAGAAGGCCAGCAGAAAGCAAAAAGAGCAAACAAGGCGAUUAACUCGGAAGGUACUAAAGACGAUAUAUAUAAGCAACGAUUACGGUACGCAGUUCCGGGGACUCCACAGACCACUCCCCUAGCCCCAUUAGGGCAGGCUAGGCACAGUAAACCACAAAAGACAAACCGACCACGCGACAGUAACCCAAAAGAUAAACUAGCUCUAGGACUCGGAUAGCAAGCAAAUGCACACGCCUAGUCGACCUCCUCCAUCUUGCUCUCGCCGGCGUCCUCCUCCAACGGCGGCAUGUCCGUGUCAGCCUCAGCAGCCUCCUCGUCCUCGUCGAUGCUCAGGCCCAGCUUGAGCAUGCGGUGGAUCCUGGUGCCGAAGGUGUUGGGGUCGUCAAGGCUGAAGCCCGAGGUGAGCAGGGAGGUCUCGAACAGCAGCAUCACCAGGUCCUUGACAGACUUGUCGUUCUUGUCCACGUCGGCGCGCUUGCGCAGCUCCUCCAUGAUGGCGUUCUCUGGGUUGAUCUCCAUCGUCUUCUUGCUCGACAUGUAGCCGCCCAUGCUC